Molecule: long non-coding RNA, 58494 nt
Filed under: Medicago truncatula (barrel medic)
Lineage: Eukaryota; Viridiplantae; Streptophyta; Magnoliopsida; Fabales; Fabaceae
Description: long non-coding RNA (MTRU_LNC000191)
Source: RNAcentral
CUGGUACUCAAGUUUUUAGCUUUUGGGAUCAAAUCAUGACUUUUUGGUUCAAUUAAAAAUAGUUAUGACGAGAAUACUACCAGACCGUGCGUUUUGCAUCAAACAGCAAAACACACUCGCGCGUUUUCGCACGUAAAAACUCGCUCGUAAAUCCGUUUUUGUUGCCAUUUUCGCCUACGCGUCCGUAACUCUUAGCUCUAUCACAUUCUGUAGAGAAAUUCAAGUUUCACCCAUCCCCAAAACAGCUUUCUCUGAAUCACUUAAAGGCACUUCUUUUUCCCAAAUCACAUAAGCUAACUUUUCACACAAAACCCAAGUAUCUUCCCAACACCUUUCAAAAACGAAACUUAUAACCUUAAACAUAAGUUCAACUAACUCAUCUCAACACAACAACAUCAACAAUUCAUCUCAAUUCAUCAAGAAUCAUAAUUCACCAUUAAUGACCCAUUUCCUUCAAAACUCAUUAGAACAAUAACAACUUAAUCAUAACUUCAACAAUUACAACACCCAAUGUAUAAAUUAUCAUCAACAACACAACAUAACAUCAAUCAAGGUACAAUUUCAUUAUUUCAUCAACAAUCAACAAGAACUUAAUUUUUACCAAUUUAAACAAAAGUUAUCACAACAACUUAACAACAACAAAAUCAUGAGUUUUAAGCACGUAACCCAACAAUUUCAUGAAGUUUAUCAUAUCCACAAUUUCACAUGAAAUGGGAGCACGAAUUUCAUCAUUCAAAACCACAAAAAGUCACAAUUAUCAUAAAAGCACUUAAACUGAUAUGUAAAAUUUAGAGAUUAUAGCUUAAUUAGUGAAAAGAUACCAUCCCCUUAGCUCUAAUCUUCAAGAAUCCAAAUCCUAGCUUCAAUUUAGCUCCUAGCCUCCAAUCCCAAGCUUCCUCUUUCUAGCUCCUCUUUUCUCCUCUAGAUCCCCUUUCUCUCCCUACCUUUAUCUCAAAAUGUUUUGGAAAAGUGAGUGAAUGAAGGUAAUGCCAUAAUUUUCUCAUAAGACUAGUGUUUAUAUAGUCACUACACAAAUGGGAUUAGUCCCAAGUUGUCUUAAUGAGCUCAAUAUUCUUACCACCUAAUUCAGCAAAGCUACUACACAUUUAGACCGUCAAAAUAACGAAUAACUACCGUCUCUUAAAUAAUAACCACAACUCACUAGUAACAUAUAAAAUAAUCAUUCCCACUUAAAAUACUAAAAAUAACUCUCGUAAUAAAUAAUUAAAAUAAGGCUAAAAUAUGGUUUUAGUCCCUGCAAAUAUGUCUCGUUUUGGUUUUAUUCUGUGUAAAAAAAAGUUUGUUUUUGGUCCCUGCAAAAUUUUUUGUUUUUUAAAAUAGUCCUUGGAGGGACUAUUUUCAAAAACAAAAUUUUUGACAGGGACCUUUUUAAAAAACAAAAUAUUUUGCAAGGACCAAAAACUACAAAAUGGGUCCAGUCAUCAUGUGCCACGUAUGCAAAUCAUCACAAAAAUGAGGUCAGGGACUAUUUUAAAAAACAAAAAAUUUUGCAGGGACCAAAAACAAUUUUUUUUUAUAGGGACUAAAACCAAAACGAGACAUAUUUGCAGGACUAAAACCAUAUUUUAGCCUUAAAAUAAUUCUAGCGAAAAACGGGCCGAUACAUUUCCAUCCCUUAUUUGCCAAAUAAUGUGCUUUGAAAAUCAUCCCACACUUUACAAAGAGCUUUCCACAAAGGUGAGUCAUAAGGUUGAGAGGUUAUAGAUGUACGCAAAUCAUUAUUCAGUGGUAUUUAAACUUGUGAAAUAAAGAGACUAUUAUCAUUGACUCACCUGGUAACCCAACACCAGUCAAUUUCUCAACCAUCCAUUUAUCUUUAUCCCCACCUCCGUCUUCUAUUUACCCUAAACUUGAGGAGUUCAGAACAUUUAUAUAUGAUAAGGUGAAGAAUUUGUUGGAUGAGAGAUCUCAAAUUGAUACUAUCAAGAAAAUGAUAAAAAAAAGGAUGAAUUGAGAAUCAAGGUAGAUGAUUUUCUGCUGAAAAUGAAUUAGGAAACUAGAAGAGAGAAAGUGAAAGCUAACAAGGAUGAUUUUAGAGCAUGGUUCUCUGAACUCUGCUCAAGAAUAUAGAGUUAAUUGACCGGAGAAGGAAUUUACAGUGUCAUCUUCCAGCUCUUUCUGAAGACAUGCUAGAACCCUACAUCUUCUCUAUAUUAGUGUCUAACACUCCAUUCUUUCAUCUGAAGCUAGAUCUCUUUGAACUUCAUAUCGUUCUAUCUGAUCCUAUACUACAAGACUUUGUGUAUGUUGUUGAAUUUCAUAAGUUCCUAGAUGAUUUAUGAACUCAAUUGGAUUCUUAGCAUGCUAUUCGACUUCAAAUGCACAAUCGACUUCAAGGUAAAUCAGAAAAACAAGCUACAAUAAAGACUCGACUCAAUGUAGUUUAGCAGCUUUUGAUGAACUUAACUUCUAAACUACCUUAGGAAACACUUUUGUUAUUCUUUGCACUUUUAUCACUUGUAUUUUUUUCGCACUCUCUUUUAAUAAAUAAGUUGUUGUUUUUGUUGACGUCAAAAGAUGGAAAAGAAGUAUAUAUGCAUAUCUAUGUUAUUUUAUCUGCUAAAAUUGUUGAAUAUUAUGAUUAUGGAGAUUUCUUUGCUUUAAUUUAUAUUUGUUUUAAUUAACAUGGCUUAGACUUAUGAGGAGCAUACAAACAUCAUCCUUUGUUGAGUUACGUUAAAUAACAAGGACAAUUGUUCUUCCAAAUACAUAAGUUUGCCAUCAUCAAAAUGGGGGAGAUUGUUGAACCAAGACGGGUUUUAUAAAUAUCUCUAAGGUUUGAUGAUAUUAAUGUAUAGAAGAACAAUUGACUACUUUAAAGUUUGUUCAAUUGGGUAGGACUAUAGAAUUAAAAUUUGACUCUAAAGUUAACAUUCUGGCCUUGAAAGUCAAUGAUCUAAACAAAGAAGAAGAACUUUGAUGGUCAAGAGAAGCUCUAAAUGAGUAUUCAUCAUGUUGUGAAGAAGACGCUAUAAUAUCAAGAAUCAAAUCAGUGGUCAACACUUUGAUAAACAUCUAACUCAGUUUUGUCUUCUUUUAAAGUAACAACACUCCACAAGUUCAAUAGUACUUUUGUCCUUGGUGAGUUGAAAGAAGACAUGUUGCAGCAAUGAACAAAUCUUUGUGAGAGACAAAACGUAAGCAACAGAUAAUUCCCAAAUAAGUAAAUAAAUUCUAAAGUACUAUUCAACGGAAAAAUUCAUAAAUGACAAAGGAUUUGGAAUCGGAAGAAACUUCUCAAGGAAGCUUGAUAUGUUGGAAAACUCUUCAAACAACAGCUCUAUUCAAAUCUCCUAUUAAAGAACAUUGAGUGUAUGAAGAUAUUAUGAGAAAUACAUGCUAUUAAUUAUCCCAAAACUCGCCAAGCUUAGUAACGCAAGCUUGUGACCUAAGUAGGGGCAUUAAGAUGUUGGAAGGUCUUUGAUGUGUGGAAAAAAAAAAUUAAAAAAAAAACAAAAAAAAAAAAAACUAUCCCAAAACUCUAAUCAAUUAUUAGCACAAUAAUACUUUGAAAAAUUCUUAUUAACUUUUGAUCUUAGAAUUUCUUAUGUGUUUAGAAAUAUUCUUUAGAUACAAAAUCAUGUCCCGUGCUUAAAUUUAUUUACUACUUUUUGAGUCUGAAGUGUAAACAAAGAACGAAAUCCUGUAAAUUCUUAAUAUUGUUGUGUUGAAGGAAGUCCUUUAUGAGAGGCAAAAUAUCUUAGAUGUGGUGUCUAAGUGCUUUUUUAAUCAUCUGUUUAAUACUCUUGGGAAUUUCUACGGUACACUCACAAAAUGAGGUGUACCGGUACUCUUACUUUAUAAUUUUAUAAAUUAACGAUCAUUUUUAUGUAAUAAAUAGUUAUUUAUCAAUAUUUAUAUUUUAUAGAACAUCAAUUCAUAAGAAAAAAACAUCAUUUCAUUGUUUAUACGAAUCAUAGUAAUUGUUUAUUUUGUUGACACUUUUGAUGAAUAAAUUAAAUUUAGUUAUUACAAUUAUACAUGAUACAAAAUUAAUAUUUUUCUUCAAAAAUCAACUCAUUUAACUAUUAAUUUAAAGAGUAAUUGUAUCAGUGCACCCAAAUAUAUUGGGUGUACUAUAGAAUUUGCCGAUAUUCAUAUCCCCUAAUUUGUUUAAGAAAAUAUUUUUAGAAAAAGCAAAUACAAUUUACCCCUGUUUGAUUGAUGUGUUUUUCUCAUUUUCAUUGAUAACGAGAACCUCUUAUUUAAUAGGCAUUAACAAACAAUAUUUAUUCAUUCAAAUUGAUAGAGUACAUUGGUACAAUAUAAAUUCAAAUUCGUUAAAAACAAAAAGCAUGAAUAUGUGAACAAACUCACAACAUCCAUGUUAAUAGUAUAAAAUGGAAAAGUACUUAUGCCAAUAAAUAUGACUAUAUUCAUGUAUCCGGAAUACUCAUGUCUUCGGAUCUGGAACGUUGACGACGCCAAAUUAAAGUCAUUGUCAUUGAUCGGAUUCUGCACUUACUCAAAGCUAAUCUUUCAAAUAAACACUGCACUAAGAGAGGAAAUAAAAAACACACUGCACAAAGACGGGAAAUCAAAACAAACGAAAGAAAAUAGAAAAUAUGUGAAAUCACCUAUUCAAUUAGGAUAAAAAGAAAAACAAUUUGGAGGGGUAAUUUCACAAAGAUCAAGAAAAGGUGAAAGUGUAAUUAAUAUGUUCAUUUUAUGUGGGAAUAUUACUAAAUUGUCCUUGUUUGUAGUGUAUUCAAAUUUGACUUUUUUAUAUUCCAAGAUAAAUUAGUAGUAUUAAUUAGGGUUAUGUUAGGAAAAAAAUAAUAAUGUAUUUAGAAAAUUGAAAGAGAGGUUAUAUUUAAGGACAAAAAAUUUUUCUCAAUAGAUGCUUAUAACUAGGGACGUAGGGAGUAAUUGGUCUUUGUAUUGAUCUAGAAUAAACAUUGCUAACAGCCUAACCCUGUAGUGUACGGUCCACCGAAAACAUUGUAUUAUUUAAAUUAAUUAAGAAUGUACUUUUAAUUAAGGUCUUCUUUUUCCCUCAAAAAAAAAAAAUUAAGGUCUUCUUUUCUUGCCUAUCUUUUGGUUUUGCUUAAUAGCUUUUGCCGUAAGAGUAAAAACUCAAAAGUCGUUUUAGUUACCAGUGCUCGUGAAUCCUUCGGUGUAACAAAAAAAAAUACAUAAAAGAUUCAAGCAGUACAACAGCCUUAGACAUUUGCUAAGAAAACAUAUCUGUCAUAUUUUGUUUACAUACUAAAACGAAAUUUACUAUUUUAUCCUUUCUUAAACAUAUUUUAAAUAAAUAGAUUUUAAUUUCUUUUUUUAUCAAAAGCGAUGUAGAUAAUUAACUUAAUCUUUAAUGUUUAAAGUGGUGAACAGACACACAUACAUACUAGCGUUUAGACACGUACCCGUUUAUCCGCUCUUUAUAUUAAACACCCGAGUCAUUCUUUUAUAAAGCAGGGAGUAAGGAAAACUUAAACAACCUACCAAACACUAGGGAAGUUGUUUUAUCUUGCAGACAUUACUGAAAAAUUAGAGUUUCAAACAUGAAUACCACAAAUAAUGGUGACCGAUUGAAUGGUGCAGCUGAAGCAGGUGAUAUAGAUCUCCUUUAUACAGUAAUUCAAGAUGAUCCAUUCAUUUUGGAGAUGAUAGAUUUAAUACCAUUUGUUGAAACUCCUUUGCAUAUUGCUGCAUCUAUGGGUCAUCUCCAAUUUGCCUCCGAGAUUAUGAAGUUAAAACCUUCAUUUGCUUGGAAGCUAAAUCAACAAGGAUUCAGUCCUAUCCAUCUUGCUAUGCAAAACAACCAAAACAGUAUGGUUACUCGCUUUGUGAACUUCAAUAAGGACCUUGUUAGAGUUGAAGGAAGAAAUGGCAUAACUCCUCUUCAUUUUGCAAGUCAAAUUGGCGAGGUUGAACUUUUAGCUAAUUUUCUCUUUGCUUGUCCGGAAUCUAUUGAAUACUUGACUGUGAGGUUUGAGACUGCAUUGCAUAUUGCUGUCAUGAAUGAACAGUAUGAGGCCCUUCAAGUGCUUCUCGGCUGGCUCAAAACAAAUAAACAAAGAGGUGCUGAUUUGCUGAAAUAUAAAAUACUAAACCAGGAGGAUGAGAAUGGCAAUACUAUCUUUCACAUUUCAGCGCUAUAUAGUGAGCCACAGGUAAUAGUUUUUUUUAUUUGAAGAACAGGAAAGAAAACUUAUAAAUUAGACAAAUGGUUUGGAUCUAGUGCACUAAUGUUGUUGAUUUUAUAGUUGCUAAUAUGAAUUAUCUCUGACAACAGCUUUUUUUUCAUUAAUUUCUUGGUAGCGCAGGCGCUUCAAUUGUUGAUAAAGACUUUUUGUCAAAAAAAUAAAUUUUUGAAAAAGACUAGGAUAAAUUUGUGCGCCAAGAACUUGGAAAACAAAACAUCAUUAGACAUGGCAGUGACUAGAGAGAUCAAGAGUAUAUUAUCAAGUGUUGGAGCAAAACCUGGCUUGGAAGUCACCAAUGCACCCACACUUGCACAUAAAUUGAAAUCAAAUACUACGUUGAUGAGUAGUAUGUUCCUUUAUAUAGUCGGCCUUAGAAACGAUAUAUCAGAGGAGCAACGCAACACUUGGUUGAUAGUUGCGACUCUUGUUGCAACUGCCACCUUUCAAUCAGCAAUGUCUCCACCAGGUGGAGUUUAUCAGGUUAAUGCUAGUGACAGUAGUUUGAACAUCACGUCCACCAAUUCUACUAUUUCUACCGGGUGGAGUUUAUGGGGAAAUACUGGGAAAUCGGUCUUGCCAGGAGCUUAUUUCGAUAUAUUUGUAUAUCUGAAUAUGCUUUCUUUUUCCCUAUCAACUAUAACAAUAUAUAUUCUGAUCCCAACUGGUGGAAGAUUAGGCACGCUAGUAUUCUAUCCAGUGACUUCAUUUGUGGGUUGUUAUCUCUUUUAUUUCAUCGUGAUAGCACCUACAGUUGUUCACAUCUUUUCGGUUUUAUUUCUGGCAUGUUGGCUUGUAACAUUAUUAUAUGUCUCUCUAAUUGAUUUCGGUGCAGCGUUAAGAAACUGAAUAGAUCAUAACAUUGUUUCAAUAAUGGAAACGCGAAUCAAAGGUUAUUGUCACAAGAUAAAUGAUGGUACGAAUGCUAAUGAGAUCUGCAACUCAAAACCACUUCUGGCCAAAUAAACAAACAACAAUAUAUCAACGUUGGUUUGCAAUUUACCUUGUCAUUGUUAUCAUUGUUUCGGGGCAAGGUGCUUUAUGUUCAGUUCUUUUCUGCUGUUUCUUGAGGUUUGGGGUUUUCCUUCGGGUGUUUUAUUUUUGCUGGCUUGUAUGGCCAGUAUUAUGCCUUUCUGUGCUCCUGCCGUGUUACACAGGGAGAGUUUUGUAAGAAAUAGAAUAUAAAAUGGGUAUGUGACCAUAGCUUAACUUUAACCAACUCCAAACCAAUACUAAAAUAUUAGUAUAUCUUUUUGAUUAAUUAAACAUGUGUCAUAAAUUCGUUCGAACUCCUUACACGAAUUCUUAAGAAUAAUUUCCUGGAUUGCAUUGUUAUCAACAUUUAUUAGUGCUGCAACUUCACUACAUAUACAGGUAAAUUAUGCAUUCUAGCGUCCUAUGAACGAUUGUCAAACAAUCUAAUAUAAAAAUUGGUUAGGCCACCUUAUUCGACAUGAUCCCUAACCUAGCCAAACUUUUUGCCAACUCAUUAUGUUCAUUAAUCAUAUUUUGUAAGUUAUCAACCAAAUACACAUCAAGUUCUUGGCCAUCAACUUUUGACGUAGAAUGAGAUCUUUACCUUACAUGUUAAAAUAGAUUAAUUUGAAUAAUAACUUAAAUACCAAAGUAUCUUUAAAAAAGUUUGAACCUGAAAUGCUUCACCUCAUUCAAUCAUUAGACUCGCUUUAUGUAUCAUGCUUUAUGUAUCAUACAUAUACAAUUGUACAAAUUUUGACGUAGAAUGAGAAGAGGUCCAUUUCUGCAGCAGAUUUCUAUCUUUUGAUCGACCGGAUGCUUGCACAUGGAACUAAUUACCCACAUAUAUAUAUGCAUUGAUUUAUGUUAUCUCAUUUAACUUUUUCAUUAUGGAUACAUGAUAUCUAAUUUUUUUUUAAUAUGAUAACUGGUGAUUAAGUGCGUGAAAUGAGAAAAAAUGGUUCAAAUGAUUCAUUCAUUAAAUAAGGUAUGUGGUCAAUAAUAAAGAUCAUAUUCAUCGUUGAUUGAAUAAAUUUAAAAUGUAAAUUUUCGCUUAUAAUAAUGAGCAGAGGGUGUAUGGUUUGACUUACUGAUUUUGAAACCAUUUUUUUUCCUAGCCAUAAUUAUUAAAAUAUUGAAUAAAUUACUUUAAUAACAAAGCAAAAACUCAAACUUUUCUUUCUCUUUCAUUCGUCGAGAAGGGGUGGUUUUAGGUCAUUUUUUGACCUAUAAUCACUCCUCUGCAUCCAUUUUCCUCUUUUUUUUUCAAUCUAAAUAGGUUAUUUCCACAUAAGUGUUUUCUUUUGUGUUUUCUCAUGAUUUCAUCGUCUAAGUGCGGUGUUGUAUUGUUCGUCGUCUUGUUGACAUUGUUUGAUUUUGCGUCUUGUUGCGGUGUUCGUUUGGUUCAUAUUGAAAGAUCAGCUUGAGUCAAUCACAUAUUCAAUCCAUGAUUUGGACACCAACGUUACAAAUCCGGAGGCAUGGGUAUUCUGGUGAUUUAAUUUCAUCAUAUUUUUUGUAGGCAUUUUGCUGUUAUAUGCUAUUAACUUGGGUGAUGUGAGUUUGUUCGCAGAUUCAUUCUUUAUGUUUUUAGCAAUGUUGAUUCUAAUGUAUUUUAUCAAUUUGAAUGAAUGAAUAUCAUUUUAUUUUGUCAAAAAAAAAGAAAAAAGAAAAAACUAAUGAUGAAAAAGAAAUAAUAAAGGUAACGAACUAAUCUACAUACAUUACCUUGCAAAAUGAAUCACAAGUGACAAAAUUAUUUAGUGAACCGCAUUUUUAAUCAUUUUUCUUUCAACCGCUUGUCUUACCAUUUUACUAUCUAUUUAAUCUAUUUUCAAUUUUAAUAUCGCAUUUUUUAUAUUAAUUUAUAUUAAUAUUAAUAUAUCAUUUGAACAAAACAUGAUAUGAAAAUGGUGAAGAUAUUCCUCUCAAAAAAAAUGAAGAUAUUUAUCGUAGUAUAAAUAGAUAUUAAAAUUGAUAUAUUGAUAUAAAUUGAUAUUUUCAAUUUAAAAAUGAGUAUCCCUACCCAUAAACCAAAAUAAAUAAGUAUCCACCAUUAUUAGCAAAAUAAAGAUACGGUUAGUUUGUCCCAAAAAAAAAUGAUUACGGUUAGCUAAAGAAAUGAAUAAAAAUAAAGAAAUAGUACAAUGAAUUCAUAAUGUUGCCAAAUUAAUAUGAUGGCAAUGCGAUUUCAUAGUCAAGAUUGUACAAUAAGUUUACAUUAAGUUUUACUCCCUCCGUCCCAAAUUGUAUGAUGUUUUGGGCAUUUCACACAUAUUAAGAAAUACAAUUAAUAUUGUGUAGAAAAGAGAUAUUAUGAGUUAUUUUACAAAAUUGUCCUUAAUAAAUAAUAUGGAAAAGAUAAAUGAAAGAAUUGAAAGAAAAGAAAGUAAUAAAUAACUAAGGUUAUAAUAGGAAAAGUAACAUUAUGUUGCAUUGGUAUUGUAAAGCGACAUAUAAUUUAGAACAAAUAUUUUUCCCUAAAGCAACAUACAAUUUGGGACGGUGGGAGUAACUAAUAUAAUUGCCGCAAUAUAGUUAAGAACAUGUAAAAAAUACAGACUCUAGAUUUGCUAAACUAUGUUCCUGGUUAUCUACUCAUAGAACUUAUUGUCAAAGAGCUACAAUGAAAACCAUUAAAAAAAAUUCCGCAACCUCGUAAUCUUUCUUAAUCUCUAAUUUAAUAUCAACAUUCAAAUAGAAAAUUACAUAAAUUUGUUAUUUUGAUUUCAUUCCAUAUAUCAGAAUACAAAAACAAACAUGGAAAAAUCAUUAGAAUUUGUAACUUAGCAUUAAGAAUUAACCUAGAUCAAAAUGUAGGAGUAAAAACAUAUGACCAUCUUUGUAAAAAAAAAAGAAAAAACUUGUAAAAUUGUGAAUCCUAGCAAAACUUUUGAUGAUCGUCUUCACACAACAUAUUGUGCUCCUUUUGUGGUCGCCUCUCUAAAAAAAUUAGAGUGAUAGCUAUAGUGACAUGAACAACUCCUUAAGUCCAUCAGUCUUUAUUCCUCGAUCAUGAACAGGUUUACAAAAUGAAGUGGGUAUCUCUUCACCGGCUCCGGUCAGUUGCGCAGAAAGCAAGCAACGGUGGUACAAGCAACAAGUGGCUCCUUGUGCAGGAAUGGCGAUACAUGCAAAGUAAAAAGCUUCCGCUCUAGGGGAGCACGUUAAAGUGAUGGACUCACACUUGAAGGGGAGUGUUGGUUUGCAAGUGUGAGUUAUAAGUCUCACAUCGGAUAAAAUAGUAAAAGUUAAACACCUUAUAAGUAGGAGGACCCAUAAACUCAUUGCCUUAAGAUUUUGGGUAAGAGUGUGGUGUCUUUUUUGCUUAUGCGGAUGUUCUAGCCUGGAUCUUCUUCCCAUCCACCACACAAAUUAUAUCACUAAUAAAAAUGGCGACAAAGAAUUUGAUGAAGACAUUAAUAAAGAUGACAACAAAUUGUAAUCAACAUACUUUGUUUAGGAUUUACUUCUUGAAUGAUUGUACUCAAAAUACUUCGAAUUAACUCUUUAUAUUGUGAAUAUUUUGUUGUUUAAUUUUGAUUCUAAUUUUUGUAUUACAAUUUAUACUUCAAAAAAUAUGAUUUUUUUAUCAAACAAAUAAGUAAAAAAGAUUCUUUAUAUGCCAAUUUUCUACUUUUGUUUUAUAUCUCGGUUCCUGCGGCGGUUAUCAUUUUCAUGCCGAUUUUCCUGCAGUAUUCGUUGUGGAAGUAGCUGCGAUUUUGUUUGCAGAAAACGUGACAUGGGCAGAAAAGCUCACCCAACUCUGACCGAAAGUUUCAUGCGGAUUUUUGUCACAUUUCCUAACGAAAUUUCGGCAGUAAGUUUCCUGCGAAUCAUAAAAUACUCAUGAAACAAUUACCCACGAUUGUAUUAACUAAAAACCUUAAUCCUUGGCAAAAUCCGUAGGAAAAAGAUUUCCCUUUAGAAUUUUCAGCAAAAUCAGCAGGAAAUUCCGCAAGAAAAUCAAGAGUUUUUAGUAGUGAUUAAAAUAAUAUAAGUGAUUUUUUAGUUAAAAAAAAUAUCAUUUUCUUAAAAACAUCCCAAAGAAACAGGUGAUUAGUUUUCAAGUCGACUAUUCUUUAACUUAACUACAUUGAAGAAGCAAGUUGAAUGUAUAAAAAAAAAAAGAUUAAUAAAUUUCCUACGACAUUUUUUAAGGACCUUAACUAAUAAGCUUUUAUAAAAAUAAAAAAAAGUAUGUAAUAUGCAUUGAAAAUUGAAGUAUUUAAAUUUUUUAGUUAAUAAUUUCUUAAUUUAGAAUCCUUAAAGAGUGUCUCAGGAACAUAGUCUUUAUAUCACUUCCAAAAACAUAGCCUUUUUACUUUUUGUUUUUUGACAAAAAUCUAAAUAUUUAGUUAUAAAGUAAUUACCAAUAAAAAAACACUUGCAUUGCAUCUGAUUCCCCAAUUGCAACAUAACUCAUCCUCCCAACAAACUAUUUUUGUGUCUCCUGACAAAAACAAAUUAUUUUUCCUAGCAAAAUUAUAAUCGGAAAAAACUUCUACGUACAAAAUUGUGUUUCCUAGCAAUUAGGACCAAAAUUGUGUUAUUUUCAUUACUAGUGUGAAGUUAAAUUUGAUGUUGUGGCAUUGCUAAUUAGGACCAAAACUUUCUUUUAACGAUACUUAGGACCAAUUUGUAUUAGUUUCAUUAUCAAAUUAAAACUCAUAUCAAUAUUCCUGGUACAACUGAGUUAUGCUCAUCAUUAAAUGUAAUUUCAGAUCUAAUGAAUAUGAAAUGUCACAAAUUGAGUUGUGAGGAAAAAUAUGCCACAAAUGAAUAUUACCAUUUUUCAGUUAAAAUAGUGAAGCCAAUUAAAAUUGAAUUUAAGAUUAAAUUCACUUUUGGAUUAUUUACUAAUUACCUAUCAUAUUUGUUUAUGUUCUCGUGAGCAUAGCUUAACUGGUUUAAACAAUGCAUAAUAUAUGAAAGGUCCGGGGUUCGAACCUCGACCACCACAAAAAAAAAAAAAAAAAAUCAUAUUUGUUUAUUCAUGUGUGCAAACAACCAUAUAUUUUGGUUUCGGCUUAAUAAACAGUCGAUCCUUAACUUAAUUCUUUGUUUUAAAAUGGUUUCAUAACUAUAAAAAUUAGUAAAUUGGUCCCUUAUCUAAAUUGUCCUUAAUUAUAUCUAAAUGUUAUUCAUAUCCACGAGUUCAAAAUUUUGUCCAUGUGAACGUCAGGAUUGAGUUUGGUAUUUGUCAUUACUCAUGUCAGCGAUUUUCACUAGUUUUGAUUAAGUAAACUAAAAUAACCAACACGAUAAAGAGUGAAGGAUAAAAAUGGUUGUUUUUCCAAUAAUAUUUGAUGCUAAGGAACCUUUAAACCAAUUAGAAUAUCUUUAGAGUCCCUUUUAAAGUGAUAAGUAUAUUUGCAAAUCUGGAGCACAUAUAUCACGAUUUUCUAUCGUUAUUUGCAUGGAUAUAACACAUAUAUUUUGCUCUUAACAUAGCCAUACAUUGUGAAUGUAAUUGAUAAUGUAAAUGAUGUUUUUGGAGGUAAACAAGAAAGAUGCUAAACCUCAAAGCAAAAACAACCGUGUUUCGAUUUGUGAACUUGACAAAUAUUAUACGCAAAGAUAUAUUGUUUUUUUCUUAACAGCAAAUUUUAUUUAUAAGCUAACCCAACACAAGAAGUGAAGAGGCUAUAGGAAACAUACGAGAUGAAAGAUACAUAAAGACAAUUAAACCAAGGCUAAAAAGCCACAACAUAAAACCACCAAAACAACCCUUAAUACAAUAGAAAACAAUUACUUAGUAGAUAUUGAUAUGUCUUGUUGCAUUGAUGUUUCAGAAAUGUGUGGGUGGAGGGCAAUUUUUGUAUCGGUACUUCCCGAGUCGCUCCGAGCAGGGAUCGAAUGGGGUGGUCGGUUUUGGGGGCUUUAUUUUUCCGAUAAUUCUUCCAAUUCCGGGGGUCAAGGUAAAAGCAUCAGCAGAAUGAUGAUGAGCAAGCAUAAGAGCAGCAAGGAAUACCACUAGCAAGGAUAAGAAAAAGGAAUUAGCCACUUUAAGAAGUGAUAUUAUUAUUAGUGUUGGUGCAUAAUACAUAGAGAGUUAACUGGUUUUAUACUAGUUAGAGACUCAAUGUGAGUUUAUGGUCAAUCUAAGUCAUUUACUAAAUUCAAGAAUGUUACACUCAUAGGUACCAUGUAUUUGCUACUUGUUGAUGAUCAGUACCUAUCCUUUCAUUUUCCACACAACAAGACCAUUUAGUAUUAUUGGCUCUAUCUCUCCACUUGUUUGCACACCAAUACGAGGUUUUUUUUUAAAGGAGAAUCAACCAUUUGGAUAAUACAAUAUCCUUAUUUUAUUUAUUUGAAUUUGAAUGGCAACCACCAAGGCCACAUAUAGAAAGAAUAAUUUCCUUAAAAAAAAAGAAUAAUUUCCGACCAAUCGUACAUGAUGUCAUCGACACAACAAAAGAUAGGUUUCAUAAUAUGGCGCCAUAAUAUCCUUAUCCUUGUAAAUAUGAUUAAAAAAAACCUUGUUAAUUAAGUUGUAGGAUUUUUUUAAGUUGGAAAAUAUUAACGAGUAUCUUCAGAACAUUCUUUAAACAUUCAAAGGGGUAAGAUUUUAUGAAAGUUGAGGAUUUAUUUCAUUAGAAAUUGAAGUCUUUACAUUUCUUUUAAAGAAUAGAUUUUUCAUUAUGAUGUUUAAAGAGUGUUCCGGAGACACUUGUUAACAAAACUCUUUAAAGUUUUAGGAUGUAAGAAUUUCCCUAAAACACAUGUUAAAGAUAUGGAUGUCAAUGGGUACGGGUAGCAUGAUAUCCGUCUCUAUACCGUUGGAUAUGGUACUUGUACCUAUACUCAUACUCUUGUAGGUAUCUCUAUACGAGUAAUCCAUGGGUAUUUAAUUAAUUAUUUUUAUCCAAUGGGACCAAAACUACAAAAGGGGUUAAACAUAAGGCGGCUCUAUUGUUAUUGUUUUUAUUAGGGGAUAAAAAUCGCAACAUUUGGAACUUAGAGUGCCAAAACUGUAAUUAAACCUAAACUUUAUAGACAUAAUAUAUUUGAUAAUAACUUUUAAUCGGUCAACCCAAAAAAAAACUUCUAAUUAGUCGGUAUAAUUUUAUCUCUAUACUGAAUAUACUUUAUUCAUUAUUCUCGCCAUAUACUAUUUAAUUAUUAAUCUAUGACAAUAACCACGUACAAAGACUUUAUCUAACAAAGGAAAUCAAUCUUAGAAGAUUCAAUCAUGUGGACAAUACAACAUCCUUAUUGUAUUUGUUACAAAAUGCUUAUGACCGUAUUAUACACAAGAUAUAUAAAACAAAGCAUUAGUAACUUGGACCACUUAUUGGAUAUUUCUUUCUCCACAAUCCAUAUUAUUAUUAAUUACUUUGAUUUUUAUCAAACCAAUCUGAUAACACCACCCUCCCUUUUGCUUAAAAUAUAGUGGUAUUUCAGAUGAGGUGACACGUACACACGGACACCAUGGUUUAAUUUCUUUUGUUUCUUUGUCUACGUUUUCCUUUUUUUUAAUAAUAUUGUUUGCUCUGUGCCUAUAAUUUCAGGUAUGGAUCCUCCCUUACUUAAUUUGAGAAAAAAAUGUUAUUUUUGUGUGACUAAUUUUGAGAAAAAUAACGAAGGCAAAGGGGUGGUCCAGAUUCUCCAAUUUGUUUUGUAUCUGUACAUAUGAAUGUAAUUUAUUUUGUUGAAAUUUGGAAAAUUUCGAAUUUCUUAAAUUUAGAUAGUGUAUAUAGAACCCUAUAAUUUUAAAUUUAAGUCUUAAUCAACAUAUAUCCAAAUAAAAUGUCCAACUCAAUUGUAAUUAAUGUAUAUAUAUUUUUUUAAUAUUCUAUGUUGAAAUAUUUUGAGAAUUAACAUAACAUUAGAAAUAUUGAACCGAAAGACUUAAAAAUUGUAAGCGGAAUAGAACACAUUCACAUUUAUUGUAUAUGUACAAAGUCAAUUUAAUUAUUUUCUCUCUAUCUUCAAAAAAAAAUAGACAAUUAGGUUAUGAAAUAACAAAAAAAGACAACCAUGCCCCUUACAAUAAUAUAUACUUUAUUUGAUAAAAAUAACGGAUAACUAGCAAAUCAUGUUGUAAAAUUUAUUAUUUAGAUUAAAGAAAUGCAUUUUUAAUUUUCAUUUACAAUUUUAAGGGUAAAUAUUGCUUUACCCGGUAUAAUAUAGGUCAUUUUUGGGUUUUCCCUUUGCUAUGUUUUUUUUUUUUUUGUUUUCGUCCUUGUAAUUUUUGUUUUUUAGAAUAUCCCUCUAAUAGGCCAUUUUCAUAAAUUUUUUGUCAUUGUGCUUUAACCCAUUUCUUUCGAUGAAACGGUUGUAACAUCUCACAAACAAGCUUAUCUUUUCUUCAUUGAUAGAACCUUCAUCGGAUUCAUCUUCAUUUUGAAUAGAAGAGGUGGGCAUGGACGAAGUGGUGUUUAACGUAAUUGACUUCCUUUCCUUCUUCUUUGAAUCAUCCUCACUAGAUUUCAACUGGAUAAUUUCAUGCUCAUGUUCCUUUAGUUUACCAAAGAGUGUGAUCAUACUAAGAACAUUGAGAUUUUGUGAUUCCUUGAUAGCGGUAACCUUGGGCUGCCAUUCCCUUGUCAUACAUCUCAAAAUUUUAUUACUGCAAUCUUGGUUUGAAAUGUCAUUACCAAGGUUUUGCAAUUUCUGUACAAUAUGAGUAAAUCUCAUUUGCAUGGAAGAGAUGGAUUCACCAUCCUCCAUGCGAAAAAUUUCAUAUUGUUGUACAAGGGUAUUAAGUUUUGAUUAUUUAGCUUCAUUGGUUCCUUCAUGAAGGGUUUCCAACGCAUCCCACAUAGCCUUAGCGGUCUUUUGGAUUGGAGCUUCAUGAAGGGGACGUAUAAUAGAACACCUAUUAUACAACUCCUUAUGGAUCAACUCUUCUGGUAGUUAGCCAUUAAAGAAGAGACCAACCUCGAUGAUACCACUUGCUGAUCGAUAUGGCCAAUAAGGUUGCACGCUAGAGGGGGGUGAAUAGCGGUUAGAUAAAGUUUUUCGGAGUUUUAACAAAAAAGAUUUGAAUUGAUUUGACUAUUGGAAGCAAGCUUGAACAAUCACAACAAUUUGCAAAAAGAUAAAGCUAUGUGCUAAUAAGAUUCAAUAUAGAAUUGAGAGAUUCACAAAACAAAUCUUAUUACAAUUAAAAGUUAAUGGUUCUUGAACAAUUGGCAAAACUAGACAAUUUCAAAUACAUACCUAUAAGAAAAUAUAACAAGCUAUCAAUUGAUGAGUCUUUUAUUAUCUAUUUUAAUAUGUUAUUUAGUUUCGUUUUAAUUAGAUUUAAGUUUAUUUUAUAUUUAUAUUAUUUCCUUUUUGAACUAUUUUACUUUAAUUCCAUAUUGUUAUAUUUUAGGAACGAAUAUUUGAUGGAUUGAGUCUUGGAGCAAAAGAAAGGGAUUUGGAGUUGAUUCGGUACGAAAAUACGAAGAUUUGGAGACAAAAUAUAUCUCCCCAAAGUCAGAAGCUUGGCACAGCCCGUGCUAGGCUUGGCACGGCCGUGCCACACUCCAUAACUACUUUUGCUGCUUUUGCUUAGAUUUUAAGCUACUCUGUUUUAGUUUACUUGUGGAACAUUCUAGUGAUUGCUUAGAUUUUAAGUCGAAUGUAAACUUUAAAUAGAGUAGCCAUCCAUCACAAAUAUUCAUCUUUUCUUGGAAUGCAAUAUGUGACAAUUGUCUUUCUAAUAAAAGUUCAUUUUACUUUCUUGUUAUUUACUUUUAUGCUUUCUCUCUUCUUCUCCUUGUCUACGAUGAACAUUAGUGAGUAGACUUCUCUUGUCUUGGGAUUGUUGGAUAAGUCUAAUGACAUAAUCCUAAUCAAACCAAGCUUUAAACCUUAAUCUUAUGUAACCCUAAUUCCUUAUCUAAAUUCACCGCUUUAACAUGGAUCAACCAUUAUCAAACUGUGGAAACGAAAGUGGAGGGUUUGAUAAUUGUUUAUCCAUCAUCUCAAAUAUCAAUUCAUAAAACGAAAGUGGAGCUUUGAUAUUCGAACAAGUGAAUUUAGACAAAGAUUGUAAAGGCAGCGAAAUAGUCUUUACAAUCUUUGAGAGAUAUAGUUUCGAUCUUCAAGGGAACUAAUAAUGAUCAAGUCAGCGAAAUAGGCUUGGUUGUUAGAGGAACCAAAAUCUAAUAGUAAUCAAGUCAGCGAAAUAGGCUUGGUUGCUAGAGGAACAAAAGAGAAACUGUCUUGAGAAAUUAGGUCUAACAUAAGGUUAUAAGUUUAAUAGUUUGGUUUGUGAAGGACUUGUCAUUAGGAUGAACCAAUAAUUCCAAGGCUUUUAUCUUUUCUUUUAUUUUCUUUUAAUUAAAAACCCAAACUUUUCUAUCUUAUAAACCUUUAGUCUAAUCAUUAUCUAAAGUUAAUUGAAUUCAUAACUCCCUGUCGGAACGAUACUCUUUUCAUACUACUUCGGUAAGACCGUGCACUUGCAGUUUUAUCUCAUCAUCAAUCAAAAACACAAUGCAUAUGCAGUUGAAGAAUUGAAUAGUAAUUGAAACCAAUUGAUCCAAGCUAAGUACUAAAACCUAAUUCAAAGAAUUAUAUUAAUUUUUAUCAAAAACAACUUAGAUCAAUACAAGUUUGUCCCCUAACAAUUUAUCAAUUAACAUAUGCAACAAUUAAAAGUAAGGUGGGUAAGGAAGAGAGAUAACACCCAUAUUUUUAUAGUAGUUCGUUUUUCGUACUCGCUAGAGCUACGUCUACUCUUCUUUGUUAAAACUCCUCCCACAAGGUCAUCCACUAAUAGUAAAAAUGUUGAAUACAAAUGUGAUUACAAGAGUUCGUUGAAACUAAAAUAGUUCUUCAACGCCUAUGUAAACACUCUUCCAAACUUCAAAUAACCUUUGAAUUUGGUGUUCCUUGAAUCUUCGAAUCCUUAUUUACCUGUGCACCCCUUCGAACUCUUCACUCAAGUCUUCAAUACUACGUCCGGUAAACAAAUCCCCUUCGAUGGCAAGAACAAUUAGAAAGAACCCCUAAACCCUUUGGAGGUGGAAUAAGAUUAUUCAUUUCACUUUGGAACCUUGAUUAAGACCAACCAAUUUCCUUGAGAGAACCAUCUUACAAUCCAUAUAAGCACCCUAGGAAAUCAAUGUGACUCAAUGUACAAAGUGAUUAUAAGAAAAAGUGUUUAAUCUUGAAGAAUUUAUGAACAUUGAGUUUUUGAGUCCUAAAGAGAAUAGAUGUAAAUGACUCAAUAAUUUGGGAGUUAUGAGAAAGUGAGUAUAUAUAGUAAAUGAGUGUAUGUGCAAAUUUUCGUCCAAAAAUAACAAUUUGAAUCGAUUCACUAAGAGCAUGAAUCGAUUCAGAUAUUAGAAAUACAAGCUAGAAGAAUAAUGAAGAUUGAUGUGAUUCAGGCAAAAGCUGAAUCGAUUCAAAUACCCCAUGAUGAAGAUUUAUACGAUUCAGAUUAAAAUGAAUCGAUUCAAUGCAACUCAUAGAGUUUUAUGAUACGAUUCAGAUUUGAAUGACUCGAUUCAGGAGUGAACCGAUUCAGGAUAUAUUGAGUCGAUUCCCGCAAAGUCAGAGAGUUUGCGUGAUACGAUUUAGAUAGCUGUGAAUCGAUUCAUCUGUGCAGAAACAGAAUUUUGAAAGCAAAUGAAGGAAAUUUUGACACACGGGUAAAAAGAACAUUAUGCCACAGAUCACUAAGGUGCUUUAACAAGUUAUAAGUCUAGUUUACAAAGACAGAAACAAUAUGCUAGGAAAGACAAACUUGCAAUUAAAACAUCAUCAAAAUGACGGUUGGAAAAACAAGCUUCAAAUUUCACCAGCCUCAUUUAAUAUGGUCAACAUUAGUUGACUUUUUAUCUUUGCAGGAAUCGAAGUCUUUUUCUUGAACUUGAGGAGUUUUGACGAGAUGUUGGACUUAGCAUGAAAGGGGUCUAAACGCCCUUAGGUUCGACUAGACACGAGUCAGCGAUGCAAAGCUAUCGAAGUCAAGCAACUUCCGUUGAGGCGGGAAGAUUUGAAUUUCAAAGAGAAGCGGUUUCCUCAAAGGAGAACGUGGGAUAAAAACAGUUGUCUCAAUGGAAGAAGUGAUGAUUGUGGGAUUAUGCUUUUGCCGGUUAUUUUCCUAUGUAUAAAUAGUAGUUUUCCAUAGGGAAAAUGGAUCGCAAAUCACCUAUACAGAAUUCUAAAACACUCGAAGCAUUGGUGUGAGAGAAAAGAGUCACAAAGAAUAUAUUUAAAGGAUCUGCUGGACCACCUUUAUAUUUAAUGCAUUGUAUUUUAAUUUUCCUUUGAGUUUAUGCAAUUUAAACUUAAUGUCUUUACCUUGCUUUAAAAACCCUUUUUUCUUUCGAAAGACGUCACACUGUCUCGUCUUGUUCGUAAAGAAACCUAUGAACUCGACGGACACUUCAAAAACAAAUGCACAACAUGUCCUGGGAUUUUUGGUUUGAUCCUACUUGUAAUAACCAAAACAACCCUCGUUGUUUACCAAAAACACCGUAAACAAUAUCAAUCGAUAAAAUUAAUAAUCGACGUUCUCAUAAAAAAACAAUUGAUAGUAAUUUAUUUAUUUUUGGUACAAUAAACCAAACCCCGUAAUUUCAAAUUAUUUAGCACAUAAUUAAUAUAAUUUAAAGUUAUAUACAAGAUAUUAAUUAUUUUGACGAUAGUAAAUUAUCAAAUGAUUUUAUAUCAAUAAUAUUUUUUAGAGUUAAUAAGGUUUUUUUUUUGGUAGAUAGACAAAUUGGCAAAGCCAUUAUAAACUCACACACACAAGUGAAGGUACCGGGGUUCGAACCCCGGUCAUGGCAUCCGGCCUAACAAUUUCGGCAUUUUGCCAGUUGAGCUAGGACUUCUGGAUGAGUUAAUAAGGUUUUACCCCUUGUAAUAUAAGUCAUUUUCGAUUUUACACUCUGUAAAUGUUUUUUUUUAUUUACCCUGCUAAUAGGCCAUUCAAAAAUGAAAAUUUCUGAAAAAUAAAAAUAAAAAUUGGUUUUAGAAUGACCAAUUAGGGGGUAAAUGAAAAAUAUUACAGCGGGAUAAAUAAAAAAAAUUACCGGAUGUAAAACUGGAAAUAACCUAUAUUAGAGGGGGUAAAACCCUAUUAACCGUAACUUUUACAAAAAAUUAAUAAUAAAUUUUAUAGACAUAAUAUAUUUGAUAAUUACUAAUAGUUAGCAACCCCUAGAGAAAAAAAAUACUUGUAAUUAGCCAGAAGAGUUUUAUCGCUAUAGUAUAUAAACACGGAAAGCCACCAUUGAAUAAGGAUCAGGAGAGAGGGCACAAUACAUGGACAAGAGGCGAUUUAAUUCCUUUAGAAAAAAUCUUUGUAUGUGGUUAUUGUUAUAAAGGGAUGGAUUCAUCUCCGGUCCAUGUAUAUUGCUCUCUCUCUCAUGUUCCUUAUCCAAUGGUGGCUAUGAGAUCAUAAAGAAAACAUUUUAUAAUAUUACUCUAGGUGAGAGAGAGAGAGAGUCAACAAGAGAGGAUCCAGAUCCUUUUCUAAAGGAGAAUCAACCAUCUAUCGCUAACAACAAAUUAAAACCCUUCGGGUACAAAAAUAACGACUAAAGUAAAAAUAUAAAUGAAACAUUGAACUGUUUUAUGAAAUUAUAAUAAACUUCAAAGGGUAAAAUUGGUUUUUAGAUAAUCAUAAGGGAUUACCAAGCAGAGUUAUAAGUUAUAAGCUUGUGAUGAAACGACGGUUACCACUUAUAGAACUAACAUAAAAAAAUUAAUAGUGAGGGAUGUCUAAUGAAGAUUGGUAGCUAGUAGUGUUAUGUUGUUCAUGAAGUUACAGUUAUAUAUAAAUAUUGUAAGUGGGUGUUGUUUAUUGAAGAUAGGGAGAUCAAAGGGGAAAUGCUGGAAAAUGAUGAUGGAAAAAUAUAAAUCGAUAUUAUCUUUUAUAAUAGUCCUUAUGAACAUCAAAAUUAAGUUUGGUAUUUUUCAUUAUUCAUGUCGGCGAUUUUUACUAGUUUUGAUUUAAGUAAACGUUUUGAUUGACUUCAAUGACUAAAGUAACUAAGAGAAUAAAGAGUGAAGGAUUUAAUUGGCGUUUUAUUCAAGUCGUGGACCAAAAUUAAAUCAUGUUACACUUCUAAGGAGAAAAAUGGUUGUUUUUCCAAUAAUGUUUUCCAAUAUUAAAUUAAAGUUUAUUUAUGCCUUAGGGAUGUUACCAACCAAUUUGUUGGGUUGGAGUUACCUUUGGUGCUUAAGAACAUUUAGACCAAUAAAAAUAUCUUAGAGUACCUUUUAAAGUGGCAAGUACAUAUAGAGUCAUUGUCAAUUGAUGUUAGUACUAAUCAUGGACUAUUUAUUUGCAAACUUGUUUGUUUUUUAGUAGAUUUUUUUUUAAACAGCAAAUUUUAUUUAUAUGCUAACCCAACACAAGAAGUGAAGAGGCUAGAGGAAAGACACAAGAUAACAGAUACAUAAAGACAGACAACUAAACCAAAGGCCAAAAAGCCACAACACAAAACCACCCAAACAACCCUUAAUACAAUAGAAUCACAGCAGAAAAACCUUAACCAAAUCAAGCAAAUUAAAAACAAUUACUUAGUUGAUAUUUGUAUGCCUUGUCGCGUUGAUGUUUCAGAAAUGUCUAGGUGGAGGGGAAUGGUGGUGGGGGGGAAGGGGGUGAAUGUUUAUAAGGUCGAAAUUUGACUACAGGAGGACGGUAAGGGGGUAAAUGUCCUGGGAACUGGUUGGAUGGAGGUUUGAAUAUUGGAGUGAUAUGAAAGGCAGCAUCAGCAAAAUGUUGAGGACCAAACAUAAGAGCAGCAAGGAAUACCACUAGCAAGGAUAAGAAAAAGGAUUUAGCCAUUUUAAGAAGUGAUAUUAUUAUUAGUGUUGGUGCAUAAUACAUAUGGAGUUAACUGGUUUUAUACUAAUUAGAGACUCAAAGUGAGUUUAUGGUCAAUCAAAGUCAUUUACUAAAUGUCAAAAUUGUGUAUGAAUUGAAUUAUUCAACAAUGUUACAAGGUCCAUGUAUUUGCUACUACUUGAUGAUCCUUUCAUUUUCCACACAACAAGACCAUUUAGUAUUAUUGGCUUUAUCUCUCCGCUUGUUUGCACACCAUAUGGUUGCGCUCCUUAAUUCUGAAAUAUAGAAUGAUUUUAAACUCAUUUUAGAUUCUCCAAAAAUUAAAAUCUCAUUCCUACGACAACAGAAAAUGGAAGAAACACAAGAUUGUUGGUGUAUUGGUAGCUUACAGUCUGUUGGAAAAAUUCAAUAAGCUAGUUUAUAGUUUCUUUUAAAAAGUAUAUGAGUUUAUAGUUUAUUUUAUUAAUUCCUUUUUCACAAUUGCUUACCUGUAAGAUUAAAAAGUAUAUGUUUCACAAUUGCUUUUUCAUCACAGACUUAUAGUUAUUUUAUUAAUUUAUAGCUUAUUUUUUAGAAGUUAUUUCAAAUAGUGUAUGAGCUUAUAAUUUAUUAUUUUUAUUUCACGCUUACCUUUCAUCAAAUGAUGGAACCGCUUUCCGGACCCUGCGUAUACGUGAGCUUCAGUGCACCGGGUUGUCCUUUAUUUCAUGCUUACCUUUAUUAUUUUGUCUCAAAUUUAUUUUUAUCCUUUAUAAUUUGUAAUAAAGAAAAUGCUAAAAUGUUCUAAAAAAUUGAUAAUUAAGUCAUAAAAUAUUUACAUUCUAAAAAUAUUCAUUCCAACUUUGUUUAAAGAUGCAUCUUCAUCAUCAUAUUCUUGUAAAAAAAUCAAACAGUAAAUUUCAAACGGAAAUUCUUAAAAUUCUUCAAAAAUGCUUUUAUUUGUACAAUUCUAAAGAAUUUAACCACUCCUUAAAAAAAAAAUUAACCAUGUGAUGAUCAGUACAUAUCCUUUAAUUUUACACACCAUAAAAUCAUUUAGUAUUAUUGGUACUAUAACAAGGUAAUGAGUGGAAGUUAUUUGCUACUAAUAUUCUUGAAUUAAGAUUUAGAAAAACCGUACUCCAAGAGCAUGAUAAAUUUUGCAAAUCUAUUCAAAAAAGAGUAUUGACGAGUUUUACAUUUACACGCUCCUUGAACAUUCAUCAAUAUAUCAUCAACAAAACCAAUAUGUAAAUACUACUCCGUCCCUAAAUAUAUAGGAGUCUUUUGUAAAAAUUACGGAGAUUAAGAAAGUUAGUUUUAGUAUUAAAUUUGAAUAUAAUUACUAUUGUUUUUACGAUUUUAUCCUUAAGAGAGAGUUAAUUUAUGUUUUCAACAUAAUAUUUAUUUUUGAUUGAAGAAAAAGAUGCAAAAUAAAUAAAGGUAUGUUACUAAAUAAAUAAUUAAUGUACUAGGGACGGAGGUAGUAUUAGAUAAGGAACAUGAAUAUUUGGGAGGAAAAAUUCUUUGCAUAAGAGGAUCGUCUUAAACAACAAACUGAAAUUAAAAAUACUUGCAAUUGCGGAAGUCUUAAACAACAAACUGAAAUCAUAUCACGAAUAUUAUUAAGUUAUGGACCAAUUUGUAUGCAACAGUUAACCACCAACUACUGCAAGAAAAUAUCAUAUUAGCUACCAAAAUCUAGCUACGGUCUAUUGCUCUAGUUAAUUUGUCUUUAAUUAGCUUUGCUCUUACUACAAGUGAAGUUUGCUAGCUGAUGCUUACACUUGUUCGUUUUUUUUUUUUUUUUGAUUGUACCCAAAUAAAACUAUUUAGCAUCACUGCAAAUGCAUUUUUUUUCAAUUCUUUUGUUUAUGCAAUUUAGAUUCACUCUUGUGGAAUCUAUAAUGUGGACUCUAUAAUAUAUAUUGUUGAUGUUAAUAUUUUUAAAAUUUUAUUUUCAAAUGAGCGUUCAAAUAUACUGAUGCUAAAAUUUUGUAAAUUUUAAUUCUACAAAAAGCAUGCAUGAAUACUUAUGCAAAAAAAAUUACUCAUUUUUUUCUUUAUUUAUUUUGACAAAAUUUCAUUUUCCCCCAUUUAUCUUCUUUCCCACAAUUUUUUUAACACUUCCCGAAAUCUUUUUCCCACUAAUAUUUUAUUUUCCUUUUUCUUUUUACAACAAUUCAUUUCCUCAUCGAACAAAAAGGGAAAACUCAAGAUGUGAAAAAUCAAUAUGAGAAAGCCAUUUUCUCAAUGUGAGUUUAUGGUCAAUAUAAGUCAUUUACUAAAUUCAACAAUGCUACACUCAUAGGUACCAUGUAGUAUUUGCUAGUUAUUGAUGAUCAGUAGCUAUCCUUUCAUUUUCCACACAACAAGACCAUUUAGUAUUAUUGGCUUUAUCUCUCCACUUGUUUGUGCACCAUGGUUGCACUCAUUAAUUCUGAAUUAUUAUAGAAUGAUUUUAAACUCAUUUUAGGUCCUCCAAAAAUUAAAAUACUCAUUCCUACGACAACACAAAAUGCAAGAAACACAAGAUUGUUGGUGUAUUAUAAGCCUGUAAGAUUAUACCGUAUAUGUUUCACAAUUGCUUUUUCAUCACAAGUUUAUAGUUUAUUUUAUUUGAAGUUAUUACAAAUAGUGUAUGAGCUUAUAAUUUUUUUUUUUUAUUUCAUGCUUACCUUUAUUAUUUUGUUUCAAAUUUAUUUUUAUCCUUUAUAAUUUGAAAUAAAGAAAAUACUAAAAUGUUCUAAAAAAUUGAUGAUUAAGUCAUAAAAUAUUUACAUUCUAAAAAUAUUAAUUCCAACUUUGUUUAAAGAUGCAUCUUCAUCAUCAUAUUCUUGUAAAAAAAAUCAAACAGUAAAUUUUAAAUUGAAAUUCUUAAAAUUCUUCAAAAAUGCCUUUAAUUUUCCACACCACAAAACCAUUUAGUAUUAUUGGUGCUAUGAAAAGGUAAUGAGUGGAAGUUAUUUGCUACUAAUAUUCUUGAAUAGAUUUAGCAAAACCGUACUCCAAGAGCAUGAUAAAUUUUGCAGACGGUGAAAAUUUAUUGUGACAAUAAACUAUUUAAAAAAGAGUAUUGACGAGUUUAACAUUUACACUGUAUAAACCCAAAUAUGCAAAAACCCAUAUACUUCUUGAACAUAUCAAGAAAACCAAGAUGUAAAUAUUAGAUAAGGAACAUAAAUACGUCGGAUGAAAAUUUCUUUGCAUAAGUGGAUCGUAAUAAAAAUUAACAAUAAGUUCUUAAAUACAUGCUUCUGAAAGUCUGAAAUACAAUAAAUACAAUAUGCUCUUAAAUUAACAAUAUCAUAGAAAGUCUGAAACUAAAAAUUGCGGAAGUCUUAAACAACAAACUGAAAUCAUAUCAGAAAUAUUAAGUUAUGGAACCAAUUUGUAUGUAAUAGUGAACCACCAACCAUUACAAGAAAAUAUCAUAUUAGCUACCAAAAUCUAGCUACGGUCUAUUGCUCUAGUUAAUUUGUCUUUAAUUAACUUUGCUCUUACUGCAAGUGCAAUUUGACUGGCUGAUGCUUACACUUGUUCGUUAUUGUAUAAAAAAAUUAAAACAAAUUGUAAUGUCUUCUGAUGCCUUUUGGAUCUUCAUUGAUGGUAUUUCCUAGUUCUUCACAAGUCUUUAAGAUGUUCUGCUUUGCGUAUUUGCAUAAUUUCUUCUUGAAUUAUAUAAAAACUAGAAUUACAUGAGUCAAACAGAAAACAUUACAAAUAUCCCAAAAACCAUAGGAAAUUGUUCUAAUACUCCAUUCUGGAUUAAAACUAAUUGAAAAUGACUGGAAAAACAUGCCAAGAAUAACGUAAGAUGAUAUGUUAUCACAACCUCAAACUUAAACUGUUGUUUGUCGGCAAGUAACGAACGAAAAUAAAUUUUAAUUUUGCAUAUUUUUCAAGAAAAACAUAUCUUUUCAAAGAGGUUGCUCAGAUCGUCUUCUCGUCUCAUUUACAGACUUGACUAACUUACACCUUCCAUGAAAGCGCGACAGAAUUAGAGAAUAUAGCCCAUACUCUCAACCACACUCUUAUCCAUGAUACAUGCAUGUAUCACACAAACUCGGUAGGGUUGGUCACGAUAUUUGUCCACUCUAGUCGUCACAUGAAUGUAUCUUGAUGUAAAUUUGAGAGAACUCUAAACAGACAGUCAAGAUCAUACUAUAUACAAAGUAUUAGUUCUUUCAAGGUUAUAACGUAUCUUAGGUUAAGGUGAGAUAUAUUAGAAAAGUAGGCUAACAAAACAACUUGAAGUUAGAUUAUCAACCUGAGGUUUCCUACUAAACAUUGAAGUACUACUAACAUUCCUUCCUUAAACCAAACAAGAUGGGUAUUAAAUAGAACUAUUUAUCUUUUCCUACAUUUGUUUUAAAAGACCAAAAUAUUUGAUGUUUUUAGCUCUUGAUUUUUUCUUUUUUCUAUUUUUUUAUGUAGACCCAUGGUUAUCAACAUUUUUUCAUUUUUUUUCUUUGUGAUAUAAAUAAGUUCUCUGGUAGCCCUUCCUCAAAAAGAAAUCCAAGUUUAGUUUCAAAUCAUACCAAAUUAUUAAAAAUAUUAUAUCUAACUCCAAGAGAAAUCAAAUAGAUGACUUUAAGGAUCAAAACACCCACAACGAGCCGGUAAUAACACAACGCCUAAAACUGAAAAAAAACAAUGCGUCGAAACUCGUUAAGACAACCGUUAGUCUAAUUGGCUAUAUAAGCCUUAAGGUACUAUUAGACAUAACAAUUCUUUCUUAAUAAAUAUUAUUUUCAUUUCACUUUUUCUAUAUUUUGUUUUCAUUUAUGAGUUCCAUCAAGAAUUGUGAUAAUGUGUCACUUGAAAAAAAGAUAGACUAAUGUCACUUAUGAGUUCUAUCAUGAAUUGUAAUAAUGUGUCACUUUUAUAUACAUAUGUUUCAGUAUGGACGGACUGAAGUCAAACACACGUUAGUACUUAGCCAAAAAGCUCGACAAAGUUUCUGGUAACAUAUUUAAUUAAAAUUCAAUAUAAAUAAAAGUGUGAAAAAGCUACUCAACCGUACAAGUUGCCUUUGCAUCCCAGUGCAACUGACACAAAUGUGGUAGCCUCGGUUAGGCUACUAAUACAAUGUGUUAGUUUACAUCAAAAUAUAUAUUCUUUUUAUCAGCAAAUAAAAUUAACAACAGUCCGAGCGCAAUAACCCGAAAGACUUACAGGUACGAGUGAGAAGGAAAAGCAUGCAGAAAACGACUUCUAUUAGUUCGACAGUUUCGUCAAAGGGUGCAGUGAAUGAAUUUGUAUGAGAUGAUGGGUUAGGGUUCUAUUGAGAAGAAUUUCUGGGUGGAGAUGAGAGGGUUCAGUGAGAAGUUGAGAUGAUGGCAUAUGGUUUGAAGGGUUCGGAGUAGAGAAGUUAAAAUUUGAAGGAUCUGUGGGUAGAUGUUUGAGAGGUUUAGGUUCGAUGAAGUGAUUUUGGUAGAAGUUGUGUUUUGGGUGCAGAAAAGAGGAGAGGGAAUGAACAAUUACUUCAGCGCCAGACGCAAAAUUUUGCGGUUUAUUUUUUUUUUUUUUAUUUAACUUUUUUUUUUUUUAAUUUGGUAUGCCGUAUGUGCAAAGAUAGCCCUUCCCCAUUAAACGCUAACAAAUCAUUUACACCAAUAUUAGCGUUCACUAGAAAACGCUAUCACACUCUUAUCAUCACACACCUUUUUUUUUUAUAAUUUUUUUUAAUACCAUAUAAUAGCACUUUCUAUAAAAGGGCUAAUAUAGGUGUCACGUUAUAAUAGCAUGCGUAACGGAAGUGCUAUUAUUAAUAUUAGAGUCAAUCUUUUCAUAGCAUUUUCUCUAAAAGUGCUAUUAAAUUAGCGUUUCCGUUAUAAUAGUCCUUAUGAACAUCAAAUUAAGUUUGGUAUUUUUCAUUAUUCAUGUCGGCGAUUUUUACUAGUUUUGAUUUAAGUAAACGUUUUGAUUGACUUUAAUGACUAAAGUAACUAAGAGAAUAAAGAGUGAAGGAUUUAAUUGGCGUUUUAUUCAAGUCGUGGACCAAAAUUAAAUCUUGUUACACUUUUAAGGAGAAAAAUGGUUGUUUUUCCAAUAAUGUUUUCCAAUAUUAAAUUACAGUUGUUUUAUGCCUUAGGGAUGUUACACUUAAUUGAUAACUUAAAUAAGGUUUUUGGAGGUAAAUAAGAAAGAUGCAAAACCUCCAGCCAAGCCAAAACAACCCCGUUUCGAUUUGUGAACUUGACCAUAAUAUAUUAUACACAAGAUAUAUAAAAACAAAGCAUUGGUAACUAGUAGAUUUUUUUUUUUUAACAGCAAAGUUUAUUUAUAUGCUAACCCAACACAAGAAGUGAAGAGGCUAGAGGAAAGACGCAAGAUAAGAGAUACAUAAAGACAGACAACUAAACCAAGGCCAAAAAGGCACAACACAAACCACCUAAACAACCCUUAAUACAAUAGAAUCACAGCAGAAAAACCUUAACCAAAUCAAGCAAAAACAAUUGCUUAGUUGAUAUUGGUAUGCCUUGUCGCAUUGAUGUUUCAGAAAUGUCUAGGUGGAGGGGAAUGUUGUCUUAUAUGUGGUAAUACAGGUGGUAAUCCAUGUGGUAAACCCCUUACGAAUGGAGUCAAAUUGGUAAAUUUUUGUUCUGGGAUAGUAAUUGGAGGGAGAUUGCAAAAUGUUGAGGAGAAAACAUAAGAGCAGCAAGGAAUAACACUAAUAAGGAUAAGAAAAAGGAUUUAGCCAUUUUAAGAAGUGAUAUUAUUAUUGUGUUGGUGCAUAAUACAUAUGGAAUUAACUGGUUUUAUACUAAUUAGAGACUCAAUGUGAGUUUAUGGUCAAUCUAAGUUAUUUACUAAAUGUCAAAAUUAUGUAUGAAUUGAAUUAUUCAACAAUGUUACAACUUCCAUGUAUUUGCUACUAGUUGAUGAUCAUUAACUAUCCUUAAUUUCAUUUUCCAUACAGCAAGACCAUUUAGUAUUAUUGGCUCUAUCUUUCCACUAAUAGGUAUGUAUUUGAUAAAUUUUAUACACAUUUUUUUUAAAUAAUUAUUUUUAUUAAAUCGCCCUUAGAAAAGUAAAAAAAAAAACAGCCUUUAAUUAGCCGCUAUAGUUUUUUUUUACAAAACUAGCCAGUAUAGUUUUAUCUCUAUAGUCUAAAUACAUUAUUGUUGUCAUUUACUAAAAUUAUUGAUCUAUAACAAUAACCAUAUACGAAGAAUACCUCAAAAAAAAACAAAAAACGUACGAAGGAGAAUCAACCAUCUGGAUAAUACAUAUCCUUAUUUUAUUUAUUUGAAUUUGAAUGGCAACCACCAAAGCCACAUAUAGAAAGAAUAUUUUCCUACCAAUCGUACAUGAUGCCCAUAACAAAAGAUAGGUUCCAUAAUAUGGCCCCAUAAUAUCCUUAUCCUUAUAAUUAUGGUUCAGAAAAUAAAAAACCUCGUUAAGUUUUAGGAUUAUUUUAAGUUGAUAAAUAUUAACGAGUAUCUUCAGAGCAUUUUUUAAGCAUCUAAAGUGGUAAGAUUUUAUGAAAGUUGAGCAUUUAUUAUAUUGGAAAUUGAAGUCUUUACAUUUCUUUUAAAAAUAAUUUUUUCAUUAUAAAUGCUUAAAAGAUGCUCCAUGGACAUUCAUUAACAGGACUCUUUUAAGUUUUAGAAUGUUAGCAUUUCCCUAAGACACAUGUUAAAGAUAGAGAUAUAUUAUGGCCUCUCACGGUAGCACCCGCCUACGUAGCGAGUUUAUGGUCAAUCUAAGUCAUUUACUAAAUGUCAAAAUUGUGUAUGAAUUGAAUUAUUCAACAAUGUUACAAGCUCCAUGUAUUUGCUACUAGUUGAUGAUCACUAACUAUCCUUUCAUUUUCCAUACAACUAGACCAUUUUUUUUUAGUAUUAUUUGCUCUAUCUCUCCACUUGUUUCCACAAAUAUGAUUAAUUUUUUUCGAAAAUUUUGUUUUUUUAAAUAUGAUAUUAUGGAAAACAAAAUUCGAAAAUUUGAAUAUAUAUUAAUCUUUUCCACAAUUUUUUUAAAUAUUUCCCGAUUAUUUUUAUAAUUUUUCCAGAUUUUUUUCAUUAUUUUUUAUUUUACCAGAUUUUUUUAAUCAUUAUUAAUUUUUACAUUUUUUUUUUAAAAUUUUUCAGUAUUUUUUUUAAUCAUUAUUCGUUUUUUAAAUUUUUUUAUUUUUAUUUUAAAAAAAUCACAAAUGCCACGUGGCGUUCAUUUACACGCGUGGCAUGAAAAAAAUUAAACAAAAAAAAAUUGACACGUCACUGCCACGUAGUAGAUUCUGCCGACACAUUGAGGUGAGGGGUCAAUCCUGAAGAAUCUUCAUUUUUCAAGGGUGGAAUCUAAAAAAAAAAAAUUACAGGGGCUAAAACCAAAAGUGCAUUAUAUUACAAAGGCCAAAAACACUAUUAACACUAUAUUAUUACUUCUUCUUUUUUAUAAAAAUCCAAAUAAAAAUCAUUUGCAUUGCAGCCAAUUGGCCAAAUGCAACAUGACAAGCGCAAAAUUGCUCCAUGUUGACUUGUGAGAACUCUUGUUCUAGAUAGAGAACCUUAUAGUUUUUGUUGUCACAGAAAAUGUUAAACAACUUUUUCCAUGCAAUUUAUGCGUCUGAAUCGCGCUUGAUGAUGGUGAUGAGAAUAUAUUCUGAGGUGGUGUCAUAUAUCCAUUAUAAUACGACAACAUCAAAAAGCGGCCAAAGAUUGGGAUUGAUUUCUUUGAGAGAGGGAGUUGUUGGCUUAUUAGUGGGUGAGGGAGGAAUGAUGUGAUGAAAGACUUGAUGAACCCUUGCAUGAAUUUUAAAGAGUUCGAACCACGUAUUAUAUUGGACCCUUUUUUAUACUAAACGUAACCUUGAUGAAAUUGGUGAUAAUUGAAAAUGGUGGUAGAGGGAUGGAUAGGUGUGGAAGGAGUUGGGGUUGAAAUUGUCCUUCGAGUGGUAGUAUUUUUGGGGAUGAUUCGGCCCUGAUGGUGAAUGAAGGAGAAGAGGAACGAUGGCGCUGUAUUAGGUUUACGAGAGAAGGAUGAGUACCAAUAACUUACUGAUACCAUGUAAGAAUUAUAAUAAGAUAAUUAUUAGUCGUGUGUCAUUUGCAUUGAGAGGAUCCGUUGACACUAGGUGUCAAACUUUAGUUUGACAUCAAAUCUCAACCGUCUAUUAUGUCUAAUCUAAUGGUCUGUGAUUAUUUAUUAAAUUAACUUGUGUGAUCUUUUUCCCAUGUCUCACCUGAUCCCACGCCGGCUGUUCUGCUCCAUCUCCUUCAACUUAUCAAAGUUAAUAUGGCCAACAAUCAAAUACACACACAAAUUAAUUCUUUUAUUUUUUAAAGAAGAAGAAGCUAAAUUAGCCCACACAAAUUGGCACCGGAGAGAAUCGAUCCUGAGACCUCGAGGAGGAGCACACUCCCAGAUCCCAAGUCAAUACCACCAGACCAACCCAAAUGAUAAAUAAGGAGUUAAUUCUAAAUAAGGAGUUAUACAUAUAAUUACAUAUUGUUGACAUUAAUUGUUCUCUGUGGGGCAAGAUACUUGAGGUGUAAGUUUCAUAAGAUGCAAGUUCUUUUAAGUCUAAAUUGUCUUAUACUUACAUUAUUUUAGGUCUAAAUUUCAGAAACCAUUAUCACAAAUUUUUUGACAAUCUUAUAUCACAUACUCGUACUAUAUUUUUACUUCUCUUUUUGUUGUUUUGGUUUUUGUUUUCAUACCUAAUUUUCCUUGUAAAUAUAUAGUUGUCUCAUAAAUUAUCGUUAAAAUUGUUGUUCAAAUAACACAACUCUUAUUUCUAAUACUCAAAAUUUGUUCAAAUUAAGUUUUUAAAGAACUUCUAAUAAAAUCAGAUUAAGUUUUUUUGAACUUUCUAAAUACUUAAAUUGAAUUUUCUCGAAUAUACAUCUUGGAGAAAGAAAAAAAAUAAUUAUAGGAGGGAGAUGCAAAACUUACGUUUUCUUUCUCUAGAAACAUAUUUUGAGUUUUCAAUAUCAUCAAAAUCAUAAACUUUAUUUAUUUGCAAAUCUAGAGCACAUAUAGCACGAUUUUCUCUCAUAAUUUACAUUGAUAUAACACAUAUUAUGUUCUUACCUUGCCCAAACAUUCGGGAUUUAAUUGAUAAUGUAAAAGAUGUUUUCAAAUGUAGAAUAAGAAAGAUGGAAAACCUCCAAGCCAAAUUAUACACAAGAAUAUAAAACAAAGCAUUUACUUGGUAGAUAAUAUUUUCUUUUUAAACAGCAAAUUUUAUUCAUAAUAAGAUAACCUAACACAAGAAGUGAAGAGGCUAUAGGGGAAAGACACAAGGUAACAAUACAUAAAGACAACUAAACCAAUGCUAAAAAGCCACAUCACAAAACCACCCAAACAACCCUUAAUACAAUAUAAUUGAACCAGUUUCCAUCAACACCACAUCAAUAGACCCCUAAAUAAUUGAACAAAAACCAGCCACCUAAACUUCCUGGUACCAGUAAAUUACAAUUACUUAGUAGAUAUUGAUAUGUCUUGUUGCAUUGAUGUUUCAGAAAUGUGUGGCUGGAGGGUAAUCUUUGGGUCGUAACUUCCACAAUAUCUUCGAGCAGCGAUUGAUUUUGGGAGGUUUGAAUUUUGGCAAGGCAGCAUCAACAGCAAAAUGUUGAGGAGCAAGCAUAAAAGCAGCAAGGAAUAACACUAAUAAGGAUAAGAAAAAGGAAUUAGCCAUUUUAAGAAGUGAUAUUAUUAUUGUGUUGGUGCAUAAUACAUAGGUAGUUAACUGGCUUUAUACUAGUUAGAGACUCAAUGUGAUUUUUUGGUCAAUCUAAGUCAUUGUGUAUGAAUUCAAUCAUUCAACACGUAGGUUCCAUGCAUUUGGAAAACUAGUUGAUGAUUAAUAAUGUUCAAUAUAUUAGGCUAUGAAUUGUUUAUGAAUUGAAUUAUUGAACAAUGUUACAUGUUCCAUGUAUUUGCAACUAGUUGAUGAUUGGUAGCUACCUAUCCUUUAAUUUUCCACACAACAAGACCAUUCAGUAAUAUUGGCUCUAUAUCUCCACUUGUUUGCCCACACCGUGGUUUAGCUGAAAAAACAGUGUACUGGAGGUGGAACAUGUUUUAAUAACAUUAAUAUGUAGAUAUUAUUAUUUAUGCAUUGAACCCUGUAUUGAUAAAAAUUCCACAUAGGUUACUUUAUUUGUCAUUUAUGCUUGAAUAUAUAAAUACAAAACAGUGUUUUUUCUUAUUAAAAUAGGGGGAUUUUAGGCUAGCUUUUGUUAUUCUAAUUAUACCCUUAAAUAAAUAAAAAAUCAAAUAAUGUAAUAUUGUUGGUAUAAUUAAAAAAAUAAGAAUUUUUGUUAUAUUAUUGUUGUCAUUGAGUAAGAUAAAUAUGGUUUGUUGAGUUUGUUACAUUUGAAAGUCACAUAUAUUUAUACUUAUAAUUUUAAUCUAUAUCAAAGAGUUUAUAUAAAAUAUCGGUUGUAAUUUACACGCAAAAUUUCUAUAAAUUAUCGUAGAUAAUCUAUACACGUUAACGUAUUAAAAAGAGUAGAAAGAUGCGCAUGUGACUGCCCGUAUUUUGGUCCCUUAACUUCUCUCUCUUACACAUUUUGGUCCUUUCCAUUAGUUUAAUUCAAAAACGUUGAAUUUUCUUCAUCUUCUUCUCCUCUUUUUCAUCUUCAUAUCAUCUCCAUCAACCUUCAACAACAAGAAUCCCAAAAAAAAUUAUAGAAGAAAAUGAAGAAAACCUAACGUUUUUGAAUUAAAACUAACGGAAAUGGCCAAAAUGUGUAACAGAGAGAAGUUAUGAGACCAAAAUAAAUCGAAUUUUAAUUAAGGGAUCAAAGCGAUACUACCUAAAUAGUUAAGGGACCAAAAAUGCAAUUUAGCCUAUAAUCUAAUAUCAUCGUUAUUAAAUAUUAUUUUAUAAUCUAAUAUCAUUGUUAUUAAAUUUUAUAGCAAGUAUCAAACGAAGAACCGAGAGUUGUUGUUUGAUAUUGUUAUUUAAUCAUGUCUCGUAUAUCAAAGGAAGGAUCGAGAGGUAAAAUUUGAUAUUGGAAUAAAUGAGAUUGUAAACGAUAAGCAAAAUAUGAGAAAAAUUUUGUGACUCUUAUGACAAUAAGGUUAUAAGGUUGCACUCAAAAAGUUUUAAUGAUUAUCAACUAUGAGAAUAGGUUUAAUUACUGUUGAGAUACAUUCAUGUAAUCUGAUAGGAAACAUGAAAUAUCAAAGAACAUCUUGUCCUUAGAAACGAAUAGAGAAAUAUAUAGGGAAUGUUUAGAAUUUAACUUUAUGAUGAAAACCUCAAUCUCAUGACGCAUUUUAAUAUCUGAAUUUUAAUCUAAAAAAUCAUUGCACUUAAUCAACUUAUCUUUUUCAGCUAAUCAAGACUAAAAAUUAGAUUAGAAUUUACUUUAAGUCCAUGUGAAUCGAUAUUUUACUAGAACCGUACACUUGCAGAAACCUAUCAAAGACCCUAUUGAUGUAUAUGGAAUCGUAGUUACCUAUCAAAGCUACAAAAUUUAGAUCGGACUUGGGGGUCUUUCUAACCGUUCUUGAAGUCGUAGGGGGGUUCGUUUACCGGAUGUAGCAUCGAAGGCUUGAGUGCAGAGUUCGAAGGGGUGCACAAGUAUUCAAGGAUCCGAAGAUUCAAGAAGCACCAAAUUUAAGGGUUACUUGGAGUUUGGGGGAGUGUUUUACAUAGGAGUUGAAGAAUUAGGUUUUAAUUUCAAGGAACUCUUGUAAACACAUUGUAUUCAACAUUUGUUACAUGGUGGAUGAUCUCGGUGAAGAUGUACUUAAUCAAGAAGAGUAGAGGUAGAUCUAGAGAGGACGAGAAAGAGCAAUCUAUUAUAAAAAUAUCGGUGUGAUCUCUCUUUCCCUAUCCUCUUUACUUUUAGAUAUUGCAUGUGAUUAAUUGAAUAAUUUUUAGGAUAAUUUCUAGUGUUGAUCUAAGUUGUUUUUCAUUGAAAAUCAAUCUAAUUCAUUGAAUUAGGUUUCAUAUAAUUUGCUUAGAUCAAUUGAAUGCAAAAUCUAUUCAAUUCUUCAAUUACACAUGUAUUGUGUUUUUUAUUUGAUAACUUAGUAAUUUUGUUCAUAUAGAUUUGGUUUGAAAUUGUCUAUUGUUUUAUACAUUGUUCAAGGAAUAUUAAAGUUUGAUUGUAUAAUAACAUUUAGUAACAAGGUGAUUGCAACACUUGAAAAAUUGUUAGCUGAUAUAGUGAUAUAGUAACAAUUGAGUAAAAGUGUUAGAUCCAAUACAACAAGUACCAUCCCUAAAAAAAAAACAAAAAUACAAGUAACAAUAGAACUCAUUCGUUAUUCAUUCACGUGUUAAAAAAUUUAGCUGAAAAAACAGUGUACUGGAGGUGGAACCUGUUUUAAUAACAUUAAUAUAUAGAUAUUAUUAUAUAUGCAUUGAACCCUGUAUGAUUUAUUGAUAAAAAUUCCACAUUACGUUAUUUGUCAUUUAUGCUUGAAUAUAAAAAUACAAAACAGUGUUUUUUCUUAUUAAAUUUUUUAAUUAAUUUAUAAAGACUUUUAAUAACUUAGUGUUUACCAAUUGCACUCAUUAAUUCUUAAUUAUAGAAUAAUUGUAAACCCAUUUUAGAUCCUCCAAAAAUGAAGAAAGCUCAUUCUUAGGACAACACAAAAUGGAAGAAACUCAAGAUUGUUGGCAUAUUGGUAGACUAUUUCUGUUUGACAAAUUCAAUAAUCUAGUUUAUAGUUUAUAAGUCCGAAUGAUUAAAAAAUAUAUGUUUCAUAACUGUUUUUUCAUCACAAGUUUUAUAGUUUAUUUUAUUAGUUUGUAGGUUUUUUUUUAGACUUUAUUCCAAAUGUGGAAUAACGUUUGAGAUUAUAGUUUAUCCUUUAUAAUCUAUAUUAUAUAUAAUGAAAAUAGGGGGAUUUUAGGCUAUCUUUUUUGUUAUUCUAAUUAUAUCCUUAAAUAAAAAGAAAUCAAAUAAUGUAAUAUUGUUGGUGUAAUUAAAAAAAUAAGAAUUUUUGUUAUAUUAUUGUUGUCAUUGAGAAAGAUAAAUAAAUAUAGUUUGUUGAGUUUGUUACAUUUGAAAGUCACAUAUAUUUAUACUUAUAAUUUCAAUCUAUAUCAAAGAGUUUAUAUAAAAUAUCGGUUGUAAUUUACAAGCAGAAUUUCUAUAAAUUAUCAUAGAUAAUCUAUACACGUUCACGUAAUAAAAAAAAGCAGAAAGAUGCGCACGUAAAUGCCCGUCUUUGCACUAGUUUAUUAUAAAAAAAAUGCUAAAAUGUUCAGUUCUUUUGGUCAUACUGCACAAAUUAUUUGGUAGCUUGACAUAUAUGUUACUGAUGUAAACUUCACUCUCACUUUAAUUAUGUUACUCCACAGUCCUCUAAAAUUGUGUUUCUCUUUUUUCCCUAAAACUUCUCUUUUGGAUUAUUCAAUCCGAAUUAAGUUGUUUCUGGUUUGAAAUAUAUAAUUUGAACUGCUUCUAUAUAUGUUUUCUCUUUAUUUUGUGGCUAUUUAUUAAUUGUGUGUAUAUCUGAUUUUAACACUUUCAAAUAUUGAUCGCAUGGGCUGUGUUAGGAAUGAUAGAAUUUCCUUGACUGCAUCUUCUAGGUGAGAGCAGACGUAGAAGAAUGUACUAGAAAGGAGAGUGGUCAAGGGCAGGGGCAUGGUCCGCAAUGCUGAGACGCAGAGAGGUCGUCAGUUCCUAGACAUUAGUGGAAGUUUAGGGCGCAUCGGGGAACAUGUCAGAAAUAUUUAACUUUUUUAGUGAAUAUUUUUUUAAUUUAAAAUUUUUAAAGAGUGUCUCGAAGAUACUCGUUGGCAAGACUGAUAAGUUGUAGUUAAUGGUGUUUUUAACAUUUAAAUUCAAUAAUAUUUACGUUGUUUUAGUUUUAAUUUAGAUUCAUUUUACUGGAAAGCAUUAGUUUUUGUUUUCAUAAUCAAAAAUUUGAAGAACAGUGUACCUGGAUCAAGAGCGAGGAUAAAGAGCCAUAAAGCAACAACAUGGAUUGUUCGUGGUUCCAUCUGGGUUGUGCACUUCUUAAAAUGUCAGAAUUUCAAAAGUUGAAGUACAAGCACGACCGUGCCCCCCAACACCGUAGAAAUAAGCAUGAUUGUGCGCUUCAGAAGCACGACUUUGCACCCCUCAAAACAUGUCAAAAGUUGGAAAGGUGAUCAUGACCGUGUACCCUUGAAGCAUGACUGUGCACCCUUGAAGCACGACCGUGCGUCUUGUGCAGAGAAAAUAGUUGUUACAACCUUUUAGAAUUCUUUAGUUUAUGGCUUGUAACUCGUUUUUAAUAUAUUAUAUGAGGCUCUAGGCUAUAAAUAUACCUCACUUCUAAGGAAAAAAGAAUCUUAGAUACUUGUAAACUUACUCUAAAGUUGAAAACAUAAUUUUGCAAUGUUCUAAGUUCUUUGUUCUUUAUUUUUCAUUUCUUUACAUUUGUGUUCUUUACUCUUCUGUUCUUUACAUUUUAAGUUAUUUACUUUCAUGUCUUUUACUUUCUUGUCUUUAUAUAUUAAUCAUUCGUCUACUAUGAGAGAGAGAGAGAGAGAGAGAGAGAGAGAGAGAGAGAGAGAGAGAGAGAGAGAGAGAGAGAGAGAGAGAGAGAGAGAGAGAGAGAGAGAGAGAGAGAGAGAGAGAGAGGUGAUAUUAGUGCAGAACACAUAGCAAAAGAGAAUGAAAAAAGAAGAUCCCGAUCCUUUUCUAAAGGAGAAUCAACCAUCUAUAUAACGACAAAUUUAAACCCAUCAAGUACAAAAAAACGAUCAAGGUAAAAAAUAUAAACGGAACAUUGAACAAUUUUAUUAAAUUAUAAUAAACUUCAAAGGGUAAAAUUGGUUUUUAGAUAAACAUAUAAGGGGUUACCAAAUAGGGUUACAAGUUAUAAGCUUGUGAAGAAAACGUCUUGGUUGACUUCAAUGACUAAAGUAACUAAGACCAAAGAGUGAAUGAUUUAAUUCGGAUUUUAUCUAAGUCAUUGACCAAAAUUACAUCUUGUUACACUUUUAAGGAGAAAAAUGGUUGUUUUCUCAAUAAUGUUUUCCAAUAUUAAAUUAAUGUUGUUUUCUGCCUUAGGGAUGUUACCAAUUUGUUAUGUUGGAGUUACCUUUAGUGCUAAGAAACCUUUAGACCAAUAAAAAUAUUUUGAGUCCCUUUUAAAGUGGUAAAUACACUAAUAUAAAGUCAUUGUCAAUUGAUGUUAGGACUAUUUAUUAAUAAUGCAAUAUUUACUUGUUGUUCUUUGGUAGACACUUAAGGUGCGUUUGAUUUGUUAAAAAAUGAAGGACAGAACAACUCUAGUUGUCCAGUGUUUGAUUUGUAAAACUGUUUUAGGUACAAGACAAUUUGGAGGCAAGGGACAGGACAAAAACUCAUUUUUGUCCCUCACCAACCCACAACACAACUUUUUGUCCCACGUACAAGUUGUCUAAAAUACCAAAAUAGCAUUUUGUCCCUCAAAAAUCGUAUAAAACAAAAAAUUACUCAAUGCCAUAAAAAAUUUGUCCUGUCUUGUUCUGCCUUGUGUUGUACUGUUCUAUCUUGUACUGUUUUGUCCGGUACUUGCUGUUUUGCAAACCAAACACACCCUUAGAGGUCAUUUUUGUGGACUGUAGGUACCUAAAGCUCUAUGAACUUGGUUAUAUCAUAGAUAACGUCGUAUUGGAAAAACGGAAAUGAAAGACUCAUCUCUCACUCUACUUAGGGCUAGCCAAUUGUCAAACGCCAAUUGUCAAACUUGGUUACAAUUAAUUUUUUUUGGAAAACUUAUUUUGAAUUUUCUACAUGUCAUGAAAAAUUCAAAUUUCUGUUUUCUGAUUAGAAGAUCAAUAAACGGUUCAAUAUCAUCACAAUCUCCAAAUCAUAACUUCAUUCAUUUGCAAAUCUAGAGCACAUAUAUCACGAUUUUCUAUCAUGAUUUGCAUUGAUAUAAGUAAGUAUAACACAUAUAUUUUACUCUUAACUUAGCCAUACAUUGCGGAUUUACUUAGUAGAUAGAGUAAUGUUUUUUUUUAAACAACAAAUUUUAUUCAUAAGCUAACCCAACACAAGAAGUGAAGAGGCUAGAGGAAACACACAAGACAACAGAUACAUAAAGACAACUAAACCACCCAAACAAUCCUUAAUACAAUAGAAUAACAUCAGAAAAACCAGCCACCUAAACUUCCUAGUACCAUGAAACAAUGUCAGGUCGCGUUGAUUUUUAGGCUGGAGGGCAAUGUUUGUUUCGGAAGUUCUCGACUUUCUUCAACAAAGGGUAGUGCUUUUUGCAGAAAUCGGGUAUAUGGGGUAUAUGUACUGGUUUAUCUUUUGGGAUUAAAUUUUUGAUUUUUGGGAUUAAUGCUUCAACUGCGGGACCAAAGCUAACAGCAUCAGCAAAAUGUUGUUGAGGAGCAAGCAUAAAAGCAGCAAGGAAUAACACUAAUAAGGAUAAGAAAAAUGAAUUAGCCAUUUUAAGAAGUGAUAUAAUUAUUAGUGUUGGUGCAUAAUACAUAUGGAGUAUACUGGUUUUAUACUAGUUAGAGACUCAAUGUGAGUUUAUGGUCGAUCUAAGUCAUUUACUAAAUGUCAAAAUUGUGUAUGAAUUGAAUUAUUCAACAAUGUUACAAGUUCCAUGUAGUUGCUACUAGUUUAUGAAUUGAAUUAUUCAUUCGAUUCUCCGCGCGACUCAGGUGCAUGCCGAAACCGUUUUAAUUAUAUGAGCAAAUUAAUAAAUAAAUGGGUUGGUGCUUAUGAUGGUGCUAAGCGUUUGCAAGGAAGCGGUUGGUCGAAAGAUGAUGUUUUGGAAAAAGCCCAUGAAUUAUAUGUGAAACACCCCGUUUUCCCAACUUGAAUUUUUUUGCAUAAAUCAGAGUAAAACAACUAAACAGGAUGCUGCACUUCUUUCAAAUCUGAAUAUAGUAAAAUUACUAAUUAUCUCAAUCAUCAAAUUAAAUCUUAUUGCAGCGGAAAUUAGUUCAACGUUUAAAACAACCUUGGCACAAAGGCCUCAAUGUAAAAUCUCAUAAAAUUAUUCCAACAACAUGUUCAUAAAACUUCAUAAAAUAAUACGUAAGGAACGUAAAGCAACAACAAAAUUCUCAUCCCGUUACGUAUCAGAGCACCUAAGACACACGUGAGAGAAUCCACUCACGACCGCAACUAUUCUUGGUUACCUGCAAGUUACUCAAUUGUGAGGGCAACAUUUCCAAGCAGAAGGGGUGAGAUUUCACAUUCAAUAAUAAUAAGCAUAUAAUUCAUCAAAUUCAUUUAACAACUUAAACUUCAUCAAUUAGUAACACUAACUCUUCGCAUAAAUACUUCAUUAAUUAAUAACAUUAACUCUUCCUAUAAGACUUCAUUAAUAACUCAAUCAACUUCUAAUCAUCAUUAACUUCAUAUUCAUCACAUUAUAUACAACGUCAUACAGCACGUAAUAAUCAAAUCAUAAACAUCAUCAUAUAAAAACCUAAUCAUCACAUCAUAAACAUCAUCUUAUAACAUCAUAUAGUUCACAUCAUAAACAUCAUCAUAUAACAACAUAAACAUCACAACAUAAACAUGAAAUAAGGUUAUAAGGUUGCACUCAAAAAGUUUUAGUGAUAGUCAACUAUGAGAAUAGGUCUAAUUACUGUUGAGAUACAUUCAUGUAAUCUUAUAGGAAACAUGAAAUACCAAAGAACAUCUUGUCCUUAGAAAUGAAUAGAGAAAUAGAUAUGGAAUGUUUAGGAUUUAACUUUAUGAUGAAAACCGCAAUCUCAUGACGCAUUUUUAUAUCUAAAUUUUAAUCAAAAAAAAUAAUUGCACUUAAUCAAUUUAUUUUUUUCAGCUAAUCAAAACUAAAAAUUAGAUUAGUAUUUACUUAAAGUCCAUGUGAAUCGAUAUUUUACUAGAACCGUACACUUGCGUAAACCUAUCAAAGACCCUAUUGAUGUAUAUGGAAUCGUAGUUACCUAUCAAAGCUACAAAAAAAAUUAGAUCGGAAUUGGGGUCUUUCUGACCAUUCUUGAAGUCGAAGGGGGUUCGUUUACUGGAUGUAGCAUCGAAGGCUUGAGUGAAGAGUUCGAAGGGGUGCACGGGUAUUCAAGGAUCUGAAGAUUCAAGAAGCACCAAAUUUAAGGGUUACUUGGAGUUUGGGGGAGUGUUUUACAUAGGAGUUGAAGAAUUAGGUUUUAAUUUCAAGGAACUUUUGUAAACACAUUUGUAUUCAACUAUUAUAAAAAUAUCGGUGUUAUCUCUCUUUCCCUAUCCUCUUUACUUUUAGCUAUUGCAUGUGAUUAAUUGAAUAAUUUUUAGAAUAAUUGCUAGUGUUGAUCUAAGUUAUUUUUCAUUGAAAAUCAAUCUAAUUCAUUGAAUUAGGUUUCAUAUAAUUUGCUUAGAUCAAUUGAUUGAAAAAUCUAUUCAAUUCUUCAAUUACACAUGUAUUGUGUUUUUGAUUUGAUAACUUAGUAAUUUUGUUCAUGUAGGUUUGGUUUGAAAUUGUCUAUUGUUUUGUACAUUGUUCAAGGAAUAUUAAAGUUUGAUUGUAUAAUAAGAUUUGUAUCGUGAAUCUCUCAAUUCUAAGAUUAAGUCUCAUUGCACAUAUAUUUGACCUUUUGAUUCCUUGAUUGUCAUUGUUCGACCACGAAUCCAAUAGUCAAUUUUGUUGAGAGAGAGAGAGAGAGAGAGAGAUUGGAUGGACGGGUGAUAUUAGUGCAGAACACAGCAAAAGAGAAUCGAAAAAAGAGGAUCUUGAUCCUUUUCUAAAGGAGAAUCAACCAUCUAUAUAAUGACAAUUUUAAACCCAUCAAGUACAAAAAUAACGAGCAAGGUGAAAAUAUAAACGUAACAUUGAACUAUUUUAUUAAAUGAUAAUAAACUUCAAAGGGUAAAAUUGGUUUUUAGAUAAACAUAUAAGGGGUUACUAAAAAGGGUUACAAGUUUUUUUUUUUUUUUGAAAGAAGGGAUACAAAUUAUAAGCUUGCGAAGAAAAGACGGUUAUCAAACACAGCCUAUGCAGCUCAUGAAGCUGCCAUAAAAAUUUUAAUAGUGGGGGAUGUUUAAUGAAGAUUAGUAGUAGUGUUACGUUAUUCAUGGAGCUAUAGUUAUAAAUAAUUUUAAAGUGGGUAAUGUUUAUUGAAGAUAGGGAGAUCGAAGCGGAAAUGCUGAAAAAUGAUGAUGGAAAAAUAUAAAUCGAUAUUAUCUUUUAUUUUAGUCAGAAUUUAAAUUUGGUAUUUUUCAGUAUCCAUGUCGGCGAUUUUGACUAAUUUUGAUUAAGUAAACGUCUUAGUUGACUUCAAUGACUAAAGUAACUAAGAACAAAGAGUGAAUGAUUUAAUUCGGGUUUUAUCUAAGUCAUUGACCAAAAUUACAUCUUGUUACACUUUUAAGGAGAAAAAUGGUUGUUUUCCCAAUAAUGUUUUCCAAUAUUAAAUUAAUGUUGUUUUCUGCCUUAGGGAUGUUACCAAUUUGUUAUGUUGGAGUUACCUUUAGUGCUAAGAAACCUUUAGACCAAUAAAAAUAUUUUGAGUCCCUUUUAAAGUGGUAAAUACACUAAUAUAAAGUCAUUGUCAAUUGAUGUUAGGACUAUUUAUUAAGAAUGCAAUAUUUACUUGUUGUUCUUUGGUAGACACUUAGAGUUCAUUUUUGUGGACUGUAUGAACUUGGUUAUAUCAUAGUUAACGUCGUAUUAGACAAACGGAAAUGAAAGACUCAUCUCUCACUCUACUUAGGACUAGCCAAUUGUCAAACUUGGUUACAAUUUAUUUUGUUUGGAAAACUUAAUUUGAAUUUUCUACAUGUCAUGAAAAAUUCAAAUUUCUGUUUUCUGAUUAGAAGAUCAAUAAACGGUUCAAUAUCAUCACAAUCUCCAAAUCAUAACUUCAUUCAUUUGCAAAUCUAGAGCACAUAUAUCACGAUUUUCUAUCAUGAUUUGCAUUGAUAUAAGUAAGUAUAACACAUAUAUUUUACUCUUAACUUAGCCAUACAUUGCGGAUUUACUUAGUAGAUAGAGUAAUGUUUUUUUUUAAACAACAAAUUUUAUUCAUAAGCUAACCCAACACAAGAAGUGAAGAGGCUAGAGGAAACACACAAGACAACAGAUACAUAAAGACAACUAAACCACCCAAACAAUCCUUAAUACAAUAGAAUAACAUCAGAAAAACCAGCCACCUAAACUUCCUAGUACCAUGAAACAAUGUCAGGUCGCGUUGAUUUUUAGGCUGGAGGGCAAUGUUUGUUUCGGAAGUUCUCGACUUUCUUCAACAAAGGGUAGUGCUUUUUGCAGAAAUCGGGUAUAUGGGGUAUAUGUACUGGUUUAUCUUUUGGGAUUAAAUUUUUGAUUUUUGGGAUUAAUGCUUCAACUGCGGGACCAAAGCUAACAGCAUCAGCAAAAUGUUGUUGAGGAGCAAGCAUAAAAGCAGCAAGGAAUAACACUAAUAAGGAUAAGAAAAAUGAAUUAGCCAUUUUAAGAAGUGAUAUAAUUAUUAGUGUUGGUGCAUAAUACAUAUGGAGUAUACUGGUUUUAUACUAGUUAGAGACUCAAUGUGAGUUUAUGGUCAAUCUAAGUCAUGUACUAAAUGUCAAAAUUGUGUAUGAAUUGAAUUAUUCAACAAUGUUACAUGUUCCUUCCAUGUAUUUGCUACUAGUUGAUGAUCAGUCCCUACCUAUCCUUUAAUUUUCCACACAACAAGACCAUUCAGUAAUAUUGGCUCUAUCUCUCCACUUGUUUGCCCACCAUGGUUUAGCUGAAAAAACAGUGCAACUUGUUUCAAUAACAUUAAUAUAUAUAGAUAUUACUAUUUAUAUAUGCAUUGAACCCUGUAUGAUUUAUUUAUUUAUAAAAAUUCCAAAUAGGUUACUUUAUUUGUCAUUUAUGCUUGAAUAUGAAAAUACAAAACAGUGUUUUUUCUCAUUAAAAUUUUUACUAUAAAGAUUUUUAAUAACUUAGUGUUUACCAAUUGCACUUACUAAUUCUUAAUUAUAGAAUGAUGAUUAAAAAUUGUAUGUUUCAUAACUGUUUUUCAUCACAAGUUUAUAGUUCACUUCUCAGACGUUAUUCCAAAUAACGUUUGAGAUUAUAGGUUAUCAUUUUAAUUUCAUGUUUACCUUUAUUAUUUUGUUUAAGAUUUAUUUUUAUCCUUUUUAAUAUAUACUAUUUAUAAAGAAAAUAUAGGGAUUUUGGGCUGACUUUUUUGUUAUUCCAAUUAUACCUUUAAAUAAAAAAAAAUCAAAUAAUGUGAUAUGGUUGGUGUUAAUAAAAAGAUAAGAAUUUUUGUUAUAUUAUUGUUGUCAUUGAGAAUCAUAAAUAUUGUUUGUUGAGUUUGUUACAUUUGAAAGUCACAUAUCAUACUUUUAAUUUUUGUCUAUAUCAAAAAAUUUAUAUAAAAUAUCGUUUGUAAUUUACACGCAGAAUUUCAAUAAAUUAUCGUAAAUAAUUUAUACACAUUAACGUAAUAAAAAGAGCAGAAAGAUGAACAUGUGAAUGCUCGUCUUUUCGCUAGUUUAUUAUAAAGAAUAUGCUAAAUGUUUGGUUCUUUUGUCAUACUACACAAAUUAUUUGGUAGCUUUAUAUAUAUGUUACUAAUGUUAAUUUCACUCUCACUUUAAUUAUGUUACUCCAGAGUCCCUCUGAAAUAAUGUUUCUCUUUUUGCCCUAAAACUUCUCUCUUGCCAUCCAAAAUUUAAAACUCCCAUAUUAUAUGAUUCAUGAAGAUUUUUUGCUUCAAAACAUUGAUCAGGUCUUUUCAAACACGGACAACAAGGUAGGGUAUCAUUCCUUCCCUUUAGUGUUAUUUGAAUCUUUUUUUUUUUUCUUCUGUAAACUAAAACCUUAUAGAUUAUAUAAUAAUCUGAAUCAAGUUGUUCCUGGUUUGGAUUAUAUAAUUUGACAUGCUUCUAUAUAUAUGUUGUUUUGUUAUUUUGUGGAUAUUUUUUUAUUUUUUUUAGACAAAAGAGGAAUUAAAUUAAAAUAGAAAAGGAGGUAUAAGAUUGGGGGCAAUGACCUGACCAGUAAACCACAAAAUCAAAAUACAACAAUUUCAGUACAAAGUGGUAUACAACGAACACAACCCUAAACAAUCACUACUACGGACAAUUCAGCGAACCCACGUAUGAGCGCCAAACCGAAUUGCAAAAAAAACGUAGAGUGAGUAUUCAGAACUUCUAAAUAGGCGUAUGGAUCGACUGCCAACACAAAAACGAUCCAAGAUCAAGCAGCUCCCAUCAAAUAUCAGCAAGCAAUAAACGCCCUUUCGGGCCAACCAUUCCAGUCGUAGUUCAGUUCGAGGGAUGAACAAACGACAUAAAUGUAAAGCAGUCCACUGACAACGCAUAAAGCAACCGUAGCAGAUAAAGUCCUGCAGGUACGACAUCAACAACUAUCGUCAACCAGAGCGUCUACGCACUUAGCCCUUUCGUGCAUAUCAGGCGAAACAAGUCUUGUUGAAUCCAGAUCGAGGGAUGGUAUCCAACCAAACAUCGCACAAAUGAACAGAACCAUAACCAAAUCUUAAAUCCAGACAAACCAAAUUCAAAAUUUCAACUAAACCGGAUAGCCAGAAUAAGACCACCACCAAUCUUCAUCUUCCCGAAACAACAUAAAACACCAUUCGAUUCUUCAUGGUCUUCUUCUUUCAAACUAGUGCGUCUUCCUGGAACCGCCAUUGAUGUGAAAUUCGACUAUCUUUGCCGCCGCUUCAACUUCAAACUACUAUGCCAUUGACGCUUUUAAUUUAGUGGGAGAAAAAAGAAAAAGAUCGAAAUGAAAGUAGAAGAAGAAGGUUUGGUGUGUGUUUUUGAAGAAGAAGACGAAGAAAAAAAAAAGUUUGUGUUGUUACGUGUGAGAGGGUGUGGUGGUAAGCUUGUAUAUGAGAGAGAAAUAUAUGUCUAGAGUUUUGAUGUCUAAAGAAGACCACAAUUAAUGUGACAUUGGAAAAUGAAAGGGUGGAUGCAUGGGUACCAAAAUCUCAUAAUUAUUUGUUGGAAGAUGCAUAAGGAAGAGAGAGUUAUCCCCAAUAAAUGAGAGUGGGGAAUAGUUGAAAGAAGUGGCUUUUACAAAGUAGAAUGCUGAUUAGAAUUAACAAUUAAGUGUAGAUGAUCAACGGUUGAUGUUGAAUGGCGCCUAAAUGAUGAUCAGCAUCCAAUGGCUUGCAAAAUUGGAGAGAAAAAUGAGGGGGGAAAAUUAGGGUUAAGGAUAGCUUCGGGGGAUAAGCUUUAGUAAGUAAGAUUGUCUUAUAUACUUACAUUAUUUUAGGUCUAAAUUUCAGAAACCAUUAUUUGACAAUUUUUUUGACAAUUUUAUCUCACAUACUCACAUUAUAUUUUUACUUCUCUUUUUGUUGUUUUGGUUUUUAUUUUCAUACCUAAUUUUCCUUGUAAAUCUAUAGUUGUCUCAUAAAUUAUCGUUAAAAUUGUUGUUCAAAUAACACAACUCUUAUUUCUAAUACUCAAAAUUUGUUCAAAUUAAGUUUUUAAAGAACUUCUAAUAAAGUCAGAUUAAAGUUUUUUUGAACUUUUUAAAUACUUAAAUUGAAUUUUCUCCAAUAUACAUAUUAGAGAAAGAAAAAAAAUAAUGAUAGGAGGGAGAUGCAAAACUUAUGUUUUCUUUCUCUAGAAACAUAUUUUGAGUUUUCAAUAUCAUCAAAAUCUCAAAAUCAUAAACUUUAUUUAUUUGCAAAUCUAGAGCACAUAUAGCGCGAUUUUCUCUCAUAAUUUACAUUGAUAUAACACAUAUUAUGUUCUUACCUUGCCCAAACAUUCGGGAUUUAAUUGAUGAUGUAAAAGACGUUUUUAAAUGUAGAAUAAGAAAGAUGGAAAACCUCCAAGCCAAAUUAUACACAAGAUAUACAAAUUAUACACAAAAAUUUCAAAUUUCAAUUUUCUCGAGAGUAUUCUUAAAUGAUCAAUCAAUGAUUCAAUAUAAUCACAAUCUCAAAAUCAUAAACUUUAUUUAUUUUCAAAUCUAGAGCACAUAUAGCGGGAGGAGAUUGUCUCGUGUGAUUUUUCUCUCAUGUGUAAUCCAGACCCUCCAUUAAAUAUGUGAGAUAAUGUGUUUGUAAUAUAAAAUGACCGAACGCAAGAUAAAUUGUUUUUUUCUAAACAAUAAAUUUUAUUCAUAAGCAUUCCCGUGAGCUUAGCUCAGUUGGUACGGAUAUUGCAUUUUAUAUGCAGGGGCUGAGGUUCGAACCCCAGACACCCCACUUCUCCACAAUUAAAUUGUGUGAGCUCUAACCACUAGACUACUUGACCAAGAAAAAAAGAAAUAUUCAUAAACUAACCCAACACAACACAAGAAGUGAAGAGGCUAUAGAGGAAAGACACAGGGUAACAAUACAUAAAGACAACUAAACCAAGGCUAAAAAGCCACAACACAUGUAAAUGGCUUAUCACAGCAGAAAACAAGGUAUAUCAAUAUCAUGUGUGACUACAAAACCGCCCAAACAACCCUUAAUACAAUAGAAUCACAGCAGAAAACACCCUUAGUAGAUAUUGAUAUGCCUUGCCGCGUUGAUGUUUUAGAAAUGUGCAGGUGGAGGGCAAUUACUGGGUCGGUUAUGCCCGUUUUUCCUCGAGCAGGGAUUUAAUGAGGGCUUUUGGGAUGGUUUAGGACGAGGGAAAGGUACUGGUUUGGAUGGAGUGAAAUGGGGUAAAUGCUUUAUGAUUCCUGGAGGGAGAUGUAUGGCAUCAACAGCAAAAUGUUGAGGAACAAACAUAAGAGCAGCAAGGAAUAACACUAAUAAGGAUAAGAAAAAGGAUUUAGCCAUUUUAAGAAGUGAUAUAAUUAUUAGUGUUGGUGCAUAAUACAUAGGGAGUUAAACUGGUUUUAUACUAGUUAGAGACUCAAUGUGAGUCUAUCGUCAAUCAAAGUUAAAAUUGUGCACGAAUUGAAUUAUUCAACAAUGUUACAAGUUCCAUGUAUUUGAUACUAGCUGAUGAUCAUUUAGUAUUAUUGGCUCUAUCUCUCCACUUGUUUGCGCACAUGGUUUACCUGAAAAAACAGUGUACUGGAGGUGCAACUUGUUUUAAUAGCAUUUUUUGUUGAGCACAUCAUGAGACAACACCGACAUCCUAACUAGAUUAGUAUUUCAGGACGCCUCCGUCCUAUGCCUGCCAAUCUCUAAAUUUUAUUAAAAAAGGGUAAAAAUAUAUACAAGGAGAGUGAGGACUAGGCCAAAAUCCUCAAUGAAAAAACCAAAGGAAACAAUAAAAAAUAAAGCCUACUGAAAUCUAUAAUUGGGUGAGCCAAUUCUGUCUCUAUAGAAGUCGAAAUGCAACUCUGCACGAAGCGUGUCUAACCAAACAGAACCCUGAAUAUCAUGACCCUCGGACAUUCCAAUAUAACAUCAUUGGGAAGAUGGAGGAAGACCACUCUUUCCAAGGAUUUGAUAAUGCGGCUUUCCGAAGACUUACUUCUUCAUAUUUAACGCGGCUUUUUUGAGAGAACUUGCGUAAAUCCUUUCUUUACGGCCCGUUGAUCGUAUUCUUUGAUUCUGGCCCAUAAAUCCAAGUCAUUCUGUACGUUUUUGCUAGUGUUUUAAUAACAUUAAUAUAUAGAUAUUACUAUUUAUAUAUGCAUUGAACCUGUAUGAUUUAUUUAUAAAAAUUCCAAAUAAAUUACUUUAUUUGUCAUUUAUGCUUGAACAUAAAAAUACAAAACAUUGUUUUUUCUCAUUAAAAAAUUUAAUUAAUUUAUAAAGCUUUUUAAUAAAUUAGUGUUUACCAAAUUGCACUCAUUAAUUCUUAAUUAUUGAAUGAUUGUAAACUCAUUUUAGAACCUCCAAAAAUGAAGAAAGCUCAUUCUUAGGACAACACAAAAUGGAAAACACUCAAGAUUGUUGGCAUAUUGGUAGACUAUUUCUAUCUGACAAAUUCAAUAAGCUAGUUUAUAGUUUAUAAGUCCGAAUGAUUAAAAAAUGUAUGUUUCAUAACCGUUUUUUCAUCACAAGUUUUAUAGUUUAUUUUAUUAGUUUGUAGCUUAUUUUUUAGACGUUAUUUUAAAUAACGUUUGAGAUUAUAGUUUAUCAUUUUUAUUUGUGUUUACCUUUAUUAUUCUGUUUAAGAUUUAUUUUUAUCCUUCAUAAUCUAUACUACUACCGUUUAUUCUGUUUGACAUUAUAGUUUAUUUUUAUUUGUAGUAUAUAUAAAGAAAAUAGGGGGAUGUUAGGCUAGCUUUUUUGUUACUCUAAUUAUACCCUAAAAUAAAUAAAAAGUCAAAUAAUAUUAUAUUGUUGGUGUUAUUAAAAAGAUAAGAAUUUUUGUUAUAUUAUUGUUGUCAUUGAGAAAGAUAAAUAUGGUUUAUUGAGUUUGUUACAUUUGAAAGUCACAUAUAUUUAUACUUGUAAUUUUAAUCUAUAUCAAAGAGUUUUUAUAAAAUAUAGGUUGUAAUUUACACGCAGAAUUUCUAUAAAUUAUCGUAGAUAAUCUAUACACGUUAACGUAGUAAAAAGAGAAGAAAGAUGCGCACGUGAGUGCCCGUCUUUUCACUAGUUUAUUAUAAAGAAAAUGUUAAAAUGUUCAAUUAUUUUGGUCAUACUGCACGAAUUAUUUGGUAGCCUGGCAUAUAUGUUACUAAUGUUAAUUUCACUCUCACUUUAAUUAUGUUACUCCACAGUCCUCUAAAAUCGUGUUUCUCUUUUUGCCCUAAAACUUCUCUUUUAUGUUACUCCACAAUCCUCUAAAAUCGUGUUUCUCUUUUUGCCCUAAAACUUCUCUUUUUGAUUAUUCAAUCCGAAUCAAGUUGAUCUGGUUUGGAUUAUAUAAUUUGAACUGCUUUUAUAUAUGUUGUUUCUUUAUUUUGUGGAUAUUUGUUAAUUGUUUGUACAUCUGAUUUUAACACUUUCAAAUAUUGACCGCAUGGGCUGUGUUAGGAACGAUAGAAUUUCCUUGACUGCAUCUUCUAGGUGAGAGCGUAUGUAGAAGAAUGUAGUGGAAAGGAGAGUGGUCAAGGGCAUGGGCAUGGGCCGCAAUGCUGAGACGCAGAGAGGUCGUCAGUUCCUAGACAUUAGUGGACAGUUACGGCGCAUCGAGGAACAUGUCAGAAGUAUUUAACUUUUUUAGUGAAGAUUUUUUUAAUUUAGAAUUUUUAAAGAGUGUCUCGAAAACACUCAUUAGCAAGACUGAUAAGUUGUAGUUUAUGGUGUUUUUAUCAUUUAAAUUCAAUAAUAUGUACGUUGUUUUAGUUUUAAUUUAGAUUCAUUUUACUGGAAAACAUUAGUUUUUAUUUUCAUAAUCAAAAUUAUGAAGAACAUUAUACCUAGAUUAAGAGCGAGGAAAAAGAGCCAUGAAAGAGCCAUAAAGCAGCAGCACGGAUGGUCCGUGGUUCCAUCUAGGUCGUGGAGUUCUUAAAAUGUCAAAAUUUCAAAAGUUGAAGUACAAGCACAACCGUGUGCCCCAACACGGUAGAAACAAGCAUGAUUGUGCACUUCAGAAGCACGACUUUUGCACCCCUCAAAACACAACAAAAUGUCAAAAGUUGGAAAGGUGAGCAUGACCGUGCACCCUUGAAGCACGACCGUGAGUCUUGUGCAGAGAAAAAUAGUUGUUACAACCUCUUAAAGUUCUUUGGUUCAUGGCUUGUAACUUGUUUUUAAUAUAUUUGUCUGAGGCUCUAGGCUAUAAAUAUACCUCACUUCUAAGGAAAAAAGAAUCUUAGAUACUUGUAAACUUACUCUAAAGUUGAAAGCAUAAUUUUGCAAUGUUUUAAGUUCUUUGUUCUUUAUUUUUCAUUUCUUUACAUUUGUAUUCUUUACUUUUCUGUUCUUUACAUUUUCAGUAUUUUAUCUUCAUGUCUUUAUAUUUUAAUCACAUGUCUAUUAUGAUCAUAUGUUAGUAAACAAACUAUUCUAGUCUUGGAAUUGUUAGAAUAAUCAAUCUAAUGAUUGAAUGUUAAUCAACCCAAGUCUAGACUCUAUUUUAUAAGAAUCCAUUUUAUAAUCUAAUAUCAUCGUUACUAAAUUUUAUUUUAUAAUCUAAUAUCAUUGUUAUGAAAUUUUAUAACAAGUAUCAAACAAAGAACUGAGAGUUGAUGUUUGAUAUUGUUAUUUAAUCAUGUCUAAGAUAUCAAACGAAGGACCGAGAGGUGAAAUUUGAUAUUGGAAUAAAUGAGAUUGUAAGAGAUAAGCAAAAUAUGAAAAUAAUUUUAUGACUCUUAGGACAAUAAGGUUAUAAGGUUGCACUCGAAAAGUUUCAAUGAUAAUCAACUAUGAGAAUAGGUUUAAUUACUGUUGAGAUACAUACAUUCAUGUAAUCUGAUAGGAAACUGAUAGAAUAUGUGUUACUUAGUCAUGUAAUUUGUAUUAUUAAAAGAAUAUUAAUACGUAUUCAUUGUGUUAAUUAGUCAUUCAUUUUGUAUUCAUUAGUCAUUAAGAGAAUGAUAACAAUUUGAUGUAUAUAAUGCACUCAGAUUAUCAAUGAAAAUCAUUCAGCUAUUUUCCUAUAUGGUAUCAGCUAGGUUUUAGAUCCUCUCCUACUUCUUCUAGCCGCCCACCACCACCUUUUCUUCCCUAUACUUCCGUUAUAAACCGCCAUCCAUGGCUACCUCAACAACAGCUGAAUCAACCACUCUCUCAACAAAUUCCUCUCCCGUGACAGACACAUUUGUCUCAACGGCACCAUCAUCAAAAAUUCACUCGGCCUUCACUAUCAACAACGUGAAGUCUAUCAUUCCCGUAACCUUGCACAAUGGCAGAAUGCUUUUCAUUGAUAAUCUGAGUGCAUUAUAUACAUCAAUUUGUUAUCAUUCUCUUAAUGACUAAUGAAUACAAAAUGAAUGACUAAUUAAUAUAAAUGAAUACCUAUUAAUAUUCUUUUAAUAAUACAAAUUACAUGACUAAGUAACACAUAUUCUAUCACUCCCACGCAGUUGAUGCGGGAGGUUGUCGGACGCUGAGUCUGUCCCUAAAAUCUUGAAAUAAAACCAAUGGGAGACCCUUAGUGAAGAUAUCUACAAUUUGAUAGCGUGAUGGAACAUGUAGGACACGGAUGUCUCCACGAGCUACUUUUUCACAAACAAAAUGAAUGUCCAUUUCGAUAUGUUUUGUGCGUUGGUGCUGGACGGGAUUUCGGAUAGAUAUAUGGCACUAACAUCCUUAUUAUCUAAUCCUAAACUACAAUGCACACAACAAUUGCAAAACCCUAAUCCUUGGUUUUGAGCGGGAAAAUUGUGAUUUAACCACAUUUAAUGGCAUUUUUGAAUUUCAAAUCAUGUACCCUUUUGAAAUGUGUGCAUAUGUGCCUAAUUAAUGCAGAUUUUGAAAUUCAAAUAUCCCACCACUUGGAAUUGUGCUCGCUUCUUUCCAAGACAUGCAGUUACCCACUUCUCAAUGCAAAAGCAUCUGAACCAAACAAACCUAUUUCCUUGCAUUUUGCUCUUUCUCCCUCUCUCUCACUCCCCUCUCACGCCCAUUUUUCUCUAAUCAGAAAAGGUCAACGAUUUUCAGUCCCUCUUCUCUUCUCUCUCACUCCAGUUUUCUCUCAAAAAAAAGCCUCUUCUCUUCUCCCACGUUAUUUUUUUCUUCAUUUUCUAACAUUCUUCUUCAAUUCUCCAUCUCUCUCUCUCAUUGUUUCUCGCGUAGCUCUUCGUGUCUUAGUUUGGGUGUUCUCUUCAUCGCCGGUCAGCCUCACCAAGGCAAUAAGCAUCUUCAAGUUUUAUUGAAAGAGAAUGCUUCUAUGCAACAAAAUUUUCAAGACCUUCGAUCCCUCGGUAUGCGUUUUCAGUUUCGUUACGUUUUGAUUGAUUUUGAUUUCGCGAUUAGGAUUUUGGUAUCACCGGUGUUGUUUUGAUUGAUUUUUCCGAUUUGAUAGGAAAGGAGCUUGAAGAAGGUGGAGUUCUCAGUGAAUCGGCACUGUCGCGGAAGGUUUUUCUUUUCAUCAACGAUCUUCUCUCUCAUUCUCUCUCAUUCGCUGCUCUUCUACUAAGCUUUGAUUGUGGAACGUAUGAAGGCAGAGUGACAUCUGAUAACGAUCAGAAUCAAGGCUACUAAGCUUAGAUUAUGGCUUCUAGGGGCAGAGGAAAAUGAGGAAGAAAAAGCACCAUCAAUUACAAUCUGCUCUACAUGUAUAAUGUUUUCCGUAUUCGAAUUAUUUCAAAUUGCAAGUAAUUUAAAUUGAGUUUUAAGGUAGUUUUCUUUGACUGCAAGUAUAAGGGGCUUAUUUCACAAGGUUAUACUUAGAUGUGUAUAUUCACUAUUGAAGCUUAUUUUGAGUUUCCGUGAUGACUUACUUUAUCGAAAUCACGGUGUGCCGCCGCGAUUUAGAAAAAGUUAUAGGGUGCAGCUUUUACAAUAACUAAAAAUUAACUAAUGAUUUGCCUGAAGUUUCUAAUUCUUUUUAUUGGUCCGAUUACAGUCCCUCUCUGAUGAUUUUCUACAACUAUCAGAUUUGAUUGAAUCAACUAAGGUUAAUUAUUUUGUCCAUAAUUUUUGCAAGAUAACUCUUCAGUCUACUGUUUUAGGUCAAAAUUAAUUUAUUUUGUGUAUAGAACAAUAGUUAUGCAGACCACCCAUUUCAAUAGGAUAAUGUCAAAAUUAAUUUAUGCAGACCAUCCAUUUCAAUAAUCAAUAAUGUUUUUUUGGGUUUGUUUGUAUAAUAGCAGGUUUUUUAAGAUUUGUUUUGUGUAUAAUGUGUCAUUUCACUCCACGUAGCCAAUCUUAGUGUUUGUUCAUGAAUAGAAAGUGGCUCAUAAAACAAUUUAAGGGUUCGAUUGUUCUAUAUUAUCUUUGCUCAUCUCUCUUAGUGUUUGAAAUUAGUUCAAAGAGUGGUCUAAAAAUUCUGCUAACAUAUGAGGAUGACGCUUGCAUUGAUAGUUUUUUUUUUUAAAAAAAAAAAAAAAAUCGCAUUGUAUACACAUAAAUUCCUUGAAAUAUAAUUGUAUACACAACGUACACUACAUACGAGGUCAACUUUACGUCGCAAUAUCCAAGGUGACCUCCAGGAAUGGGUUGAAGAUUUUAAUGAAUGAUGAUAAUAGUAAUAGCAUGAAUAGCACUUCAAAUGUAGUUAUAAGGAGAUUUUCUGCAAUCUACCGAUUUAAGGUCUUUUUUAAUGUAUUUUUUUUAGAAACAAUUUAUUUUGUACCGCAAGCAUAUUUAAUUUCAAUACAUUUUGUAAUAGCAUAUUUUAUUUUGUACAGCACGGGUGGAUGGUCUAGUUAUCACAAUAAACUAAACUAGCCUUGUGAAUGGGGAAAUGUAAUUCCAAAAGCAAGUUUCAUAACCAACAAGAUUCAGAAACCGCAUUGGAACCCCUCGAUAUUCUGCUUCAGCACUUGAACGAGAUAAAGUAGGUUGUCGUUUGGAAGACCAUGAGAGUAAGUUGUCACCAAGAGAUACACAGCAACCAGAGGUGGAUCGUCAGGUAUCUAGGCAACUUCCCCAAUCUGCAUUGUGUAAACAAUCAAUGAUGAUGUAGAAGAAGAGUAAAGUUGCAGUCCAUACUCGCGUGUGCCCUGAAUAUAUCUCAGGAUGCGUCAAAGGGUGUGCAUGUGAUCAUCCAUUGGAUUGUGCAUAAAUAAACAUAUUUGUUGCACUGCAUAAGAAAUGCCAGGCCUUGUGAAGGUGAGGUAUUGUAGGGCGCCAGCAAGGCUGCGAUAUAGAGAAAGGUCUUCAAAUGGGGUGCUAGUUUUGGCUCUCAUCUUUGGUUUAGUAUCAACCGUUGUAGGACAUGGUUUACAAGAAGCCAUUCCAGCACGAUCAAUAAUUUCUUCUGCAUAUUUUUUCUGAGACAAAAAUAAGCCACCAGGAUGACGUGUGACAGCAAUACCCAAAAAAUAAUUCAACAAUCCCAAAUCUUUCAUAGCAAACUCGGAACUAAGGAGUGAUAUGAUAGACUUUCAAAGGUCGUCAGAGGAAGAGGAAGCAGUAAGAAUGAUAUCAUCUACAUACAGUAUGAGGUAGGCCAAAAGGUGGGUUUUUCCUAUAUGGUAUCAGAAAAACUCUGCUUCCCGGAACUCUGGCAGAGGUGGUCGAAAUGGUACUGGUAAUUAUUGAUCUAUAACAAUAACCAUAUACGAAGACUACCUCAAAAAAAAAAAAAAAAAAAACGUACGAAGGAGAAUCAACCAUCUGGAUAAUACAUAUCCUUAUUUUAUUUAUUUGAAUUUGAAUGGCAACCACCAAAGCCACAUAUAGAAAGAAUAUUUUCCUACCAAUCGUACAUGAUGCCCAUAACAAAAGAUAGGUUCCAUAAUAUGGCCCCAUAAUAUCCUUAUCCUUAUAAUUAUGGUUCAGAAAAUAAAAAACCUCGUUAAGUUUUAGGAUUAUUUUAAGUUGAUAAAUAUUAACGAGUAUCUUCAGAGCAUUUUUCAAACAUCUAAAGUGGUAAGAUUUUAUGAAAGUUGAGCAUUUAUUAUAUUGGAAAUUGAAGUCUUUACAUUUCUUUUAAAAAUAAUUUUUUCAUUAUAAAUGCUUAAAAGGUGCUCCAUGGACAUUCAUUAACAGGACUCUUUUAAAUUUUAGAAUGUUAGCAUUUCCCUAAAACACAUGUUAAAGAUAGAGAUAUAUUAUGGCCUCUCACGGUAGCACCCGCCUACGUAGCGAGUUUAUGGUCAAUCUAAGUCAUUUACUAAAUGUCAAAAUUAUGUAUGAAUUGAAUUAUUCAACAAUGUUACAAGCUCCAUGUAUUUGCUACUAGUUGAUGAUCACUAACUAUCCUUUCAUUUUCCAUACAACUAGACCAUUUUUUUUUAGUAUUAUUUGCUCUAUCUCUCCACUUGUUUCCACAAAUAUGAUUAAUUUUUUUCGAAAAUUUUGUUUUUUUAAAUAUGAUAUUAUGGAAAACAAAAUUCGAAAAUUUGAAUAUAUAUUAAUCUUUUCCACAAUUUUUUUAAAUAUUUCCCGAUUAUUUUUAUAAUUUUUCCAGAUUUUUUUCAUUAUUUUUUAUUUUACCAGAUUUUUUUAAUCAUUAUUAAUUUUUACAUUUUUUUUUUAAAUUUUUCAGUAUUUUUUUUAAUCAUUAUUCGUUUUUUAAAUUUUUUUAUUUUUAUUUUAAAAAAAUCACAAAUGCCACGUGGCGUUCAUUUACACGCGUGGCAUGAAAAAAAUUAAACAAAAAAAAAUUGACACGUCACUGCCACGUAGUAGAUUCUGCCGACACAUUGAGGUGAGGGGUCAAUCCUGAAGAAUCUUCAUUUUUCAAGGGUGGAAUCUAAAAAAAAAAAAUUACAGGGGCUAAAACCAAAAGUGCAUUAUAUUACAAAGGCCAAAAACACUAUUAACACUAUAUUAUUACUUCUUCUUUUUUAUAAAAAUCCAAAUAAAAAUCAUUUGCAUUGCAGCCAAUUGGCCAAAUGCAACAUGACAAGCGCAAAAUUGCUCCAUGUUGACUUGUGAGAACUCUUGUUCUAGAUAGAGAACCUUAUAGUUUUUGUUGUCACAGAAAAUGUUAAACAACUUUUUCCAUGCAAUUUAUGCGUCUGAAUCGCGCUUGAUGAUGGUGAUGAGAAUAUAUUCUGAGGUGGUGUCAUAUAUCCAUUAUAAUACGACAACAUCAAAAAGCGGCCAAAGAUUGGGAUUGAUUUCUUUGAGAGAGGGAGUUGUUGGCUUAUUAGUGGGUGAGGGAGGAAUGAUGUGAUGAAAGACUUGAUGAACCCUUGCAUGAAUUUUAAAGAGUUCGAACCACGUAUUAUAUUGGACCCUUUUUUAUACUAAACGUAACCUUGAUGAAAUUGGUGAUAAUUGAAAAUGGUGGUAGAGGGAUGGAUAGGUGUGGAAGGAGUUGGGGUUGAAAUUGUCCUUCGAGUGGUAGUAUUUUUGGGGAUGAUUCGGCCCUGAUGGUGAAUGAAGGAGAAGAGGAACGAUGGCGCUGUAUUAGGUUUACGAGAGAAGGAUGAGUACCAACAACUUACUGAUACCAUGUAAGAAUUAUAAUAAGAUAAUUAUUAGUCGUGUGUCAUUUGCAUUGAGAGGAUCCGUUGACACUAGGUGUCAAACUUUAGUUUGACAUCAAAUCUCAACCGUCUAUUAUGUCUAAUCUAAUGGUCUGUGAUUAUUUAUUAAAUUAACUUGUGUGAUCUUUUUCCCAUGUCUCACCUGAUCCCACGCCGGCUGUUCUGCUCCAUCUCCUUCAACUUAUCAAAGUUAAUAUGGCCAACAAUCAAAUACACACACAAAUUAAUUCUUUUUUUUUUUUAAAGAAGAAGAAGCUAAAUUAGCCCACACAAAUUGGCACCGGAGAGAAUCGAUCCUGAGACCUCGAGGAGGAGCACACUCCCAGAUCCCAAGUCAAUACCACCAGACCAACCCAAAUGAUAAAUAAGGAGUUAAUUCUAAAUAAGGAGUUAUACAUAUAAUUACAUAUUGUUGACAUUAAUUGUUCUCUGUGGGGCAAGAUACUUGAGGUGUAAGUUUCAUAAGAUGCAAGUUCUUUUAAGUCUAAAUUGUCUUAUACUUACAUUAUUUUAGGUCUAAAUUUCAGAAACCAUUAUCACAAAUUUUUUGACAAUCUUAUCUCACAUACUCGUACUAUAUUUUUACUUCUCUUUUUGUUGUUUUGGUUUUUGUUUUCAUACCUAAUUUUCCUUGUAAAUCUAUAGUUGUCUCAUAAAUUAUCGUUAAAAUUGUUGUUCAAAUAACACAACUCCUAUUUCUAAUACUCAAAAUUUGUUCAAAUUAAGUUUUUAAAGAACUUCUAAUAAAAUCAGAUUAAGUUUUUUUGAACUUUCUAAAUACUUAAAUUGAAUUUUCUCGAAUAUACAUCUUGGAGAAAGAAAAAAAAUAAUUAUAGGAGGGAGAUGCAAAACUUACGUUUUCUUUCACUAGAAACAUAUUUUGAGUUUUCAAUAUCAUCAAAAUCAUAAACUUUAUUUAUUUGCAAAUCUAGAGCACAUAUAGCACGAUUUUCUCUCAUAAUUUACAUUGAUAUAACACAUAUUAUGUUCUUACCUUGCCCAAACAUUCGGGAUUUAAUUGAUAAUGUAAAAGAUGUUUUCAAAUGUAGAAUAAGAAAGAUGGAAAACCUCCAAGCCAAAUUAUACACAAGAAUAUAAAACAAAGCAUUUACUUGGUAGAUAAUAUUUUCUUUUUAAACAGCAAAUUUUAUUCAUAAUAAGAUAACCUAACACAAGAAGUGAAGAGGCUAUAGGGGAAAGACACAAGGUAACAAUACAUAAAGACAACUAAACCAAUGCUAAAAAUCCACAUCACAAAACCACCCAAACAACCCUUAAUACAAUAUAAUCACAGCAGAAAAACCUUAACCAAAUCAAGCAAACACACCCAGACCUUCCCCUAACACAAAAUCAAACCAGUUUCCAUCAACACCACAUCAAUAGACCCCUUAAAUAAUUGAACAAAAACCAGCCACCUAAACUUCCUGGUACCAGUAAAUUACAAUUACUUAGUAGAUAUUGAUAUGUCUUGUUGCAUUGAUGUUUCAGAAAUGUGUGGCUGGAGGGCAAUCUUUGGGUCGUAACUUCCACAAUAUCUUCGAGCAGCGAUUGAUUUUGGGAGUUUUGAAUUUUGGGAAGGCAGCAUCAACAGCAAAAUGUUGAGGAGCAAGCAUAAAAGCAGCAAGGAAUAACACUAAUAAGGAUAAGAAAAAGGAAUUAGCCAUUUUAAGAAGUGAUAUUAUUAUUGUGUUGGUGCAUAAUACAUAUGGAGUUAACUGGCUUUAUACUAGUUAGAGACUCAAUGUGAGUUUAUGGUCAAUCUAAGUCAUUGUGUAUGAAUUCAAUCAUUCAACACGUAGGUUCCAUGCAUUUGGAAAACUAGUUGAUGAUUAAAAAUGUUCAAUAUAUUAGGCUAUGAAUUGUUUAUGAAUUGAAUUGUUG